AAACCACCAGUGUACAAGCCACCAGUUGAGAAGCCCCCCGUCUACAAACCUCCUGUAGAGAAGCCUCCUGUUUACAAGCCACCAGUAGAGAAACCACCAGUGUACAAGCCACCAGUUGAAAAGCCUCCGGUCUACAAACCACCUGUAGAGAAGCCACCUGUUUACAAGCCACCUGUAGAGAAACCACCAGUGUACAAGCCACCAGUUGAGAAGCCUCCGGUCUACAAACCACCUGUAGAGAAGCCACCUGUUUAUAAGCCACCUGUAGAGAAACCACCAGUGUACAAGCCACCAGUUGAGAAGCCCCCGGUCUACAAACCCCCUGUAGAGAAGCCUCCUGUCUACAAGCCACCAGUAGAGAAACCGCCAGUGUACAAGCCACCAGUUGAGAAACCCCCGGUCUACAAACCCCCUGUUGAGAAGCCUCCUAUCUACAAGCCACCAGUAGAGAAACCACCAGUGUACAAGCCACCUGUUGAGAAGCCUCCAGUUUAUAAGCCACCAGUUGAGAAGCCACCUGUGUACAAGCCCCCAGUCGAGAAACCCCCGGUCUACAAACCUCCUGUAGAGAAGCCUCCAGUUUACAAGCCACCGGUGUACAAACCUCCAGUUUACAAGCCACCAGUAGAGAAGCCACCUGUGUACAAGCCUCCGGUCUACAAACCCCCAGUUGAGAAACCUCCAGUUUACAAGCCACCGGUUUACAAGCCUCCAGUCGAGAAGCCACCAGUUUACGGACCACCUCACCACCCAUAGUACCCUCCCGUAGUUGGCACUACUCGUUUUUAAAGCAUGCUUUUAAGUAAAUAAGAGAUAUAUAAACUUUCCAAAGCAAGGAUCAUAUAUUCUUGGAAAUCUUCAAUUCAAUCUUAUGUUUACAAAUGCUAUUGCCAAGACAAGAGUGUGAAAGAAAAUGGUGCCAUUUGUACUUCAAAUUAUGAAUAAGAACGUUAUGAUUUAGUACUUCUUAUUUUGUGUUUGUUGACUAAAUUUGACAGAGUAUACUUUACUUGUUCCCUAUCAUACCAGUAAGGUGCAUGAAAGUUCAGUCUUGAACGGUGGAAAUAAAUAAUAAUUAAUUAAUGUUUGAAUCUCGAAUUUACUAAAUUAACGAACUUGUAAUUUCAUUGGAAUAUACUUGACUCAGUGGUAGCUUUAGUUUCAACUUGGAAAAUGUCCGUGAUAUGACAAUUUUUCCAAAACAAGUUUAGGUUAAGAUUUUUAUUUUUUAUUUUUGACAUAAUAUACGUUAAGAUUCUUGUGUACUAAUAGAAACUGAAAAAUCAUUUUGGUGCUUAAAGUUUAAUGAGUUGGACAAAUUAUUCACUCAAAUAUGGAAAUGAUAAUGUAGUCUCUUCAAUUAUAGAAUGCCAUUUAAUUUAGUUACCUUUUCAAAAUUAGCAUCACAAUUCGCAAGGUUUUAUAUUUGUGUUGAUGCAUCAGUUAAGAUAAGGAUCACGAAAAUUAGGUUUUUGACUUGGUUUUGAUUAGGGGUGUUUGCGGUGCGUUUUGGUUCGGUUUUGAGCAUAAAAGUCAUCUAAACCUCAAGAUAAAAAAGCAUGCGGUUUGGUUUGAUUCAGUUGAUUUUUAUAUAGUCAUCCAAACAAAACCAAACCAAACCAAUGCGGUUUGGAUUGGUUCGGUUUGUACGGUUUAUCGCGAGAUGAAAAAAUAUUACAUUAACUCUAAUAUUGCCAACUUGUUACAAAAUAAACAUAGGACAUUUUAUUUUGUUGUUUAUAUGAUAAAAUAUUAGGUAAAACUUAUAUCAAAAUAGGUAAAAUUAAGAAGAAACAUAAGCAUGAAACAAAUUAUUGAGAAGUAAAAGAAACAAAUUCAUCACUGAAAAUGAAUUGAAAGAGAUGGAAAGGAAUUAGAAUCGAACCAGAUGGUGCAACAAUGGAAAAAUCUAAUCAAAUGAGAUUAUUCUUGAGCUAUGUAAUUGGGCUAGUACAUGUUUAAGUAAUAUUCAUUAUUCUUGCGGUUUGGUUUGGUACUUGAGAUGCAAACCGCAAACCAAACCGAACCGCGCGGUUCAGUGUAAAAGUCAUCCGAGUUCAUUCGAACCAAGUGCAGUUUUUUGCGGUUUCGGUUUGGAUUGGUUUGGUUUGCGGUUUUUCUAUUGGGUUCGUUCGGUUUUGAACACCCCUAGUUUUGAUCGAUGUUUCCUGAAGAUAUGUUUUGGUAAUUGAACUAAAUAAACUGUCUUACAUUCUUCAAUUAAUGAGAUUAAAUUUCCUUUUUACAAAUAUCAAUGAUUAAUGUCAAGGACUAAAAUGAUGAUUAGUGUCGCGCCAUUUUUCGGAGGUCAAGGCCAUUUGAUUAGCUUUUGACUCACUUUUUAUCUCACGACUGAACAAAAAAUUUUUUAAAGGGGAAAAAGUUUCAAACCACCCAUUUUGAAAAGAUUUAGGGUUCAUGGGUUGGUUAUAUUUAGGGAAGGUAUUAGCACCCUAAAUAUUCGUAGUACUCUAUGAGUACCUCUUGAUUUUAUUUAACUUUUUGUGCUUAAACUUGCUUGCUUUUGAAGAGAUGAAAAUAGAAUUGAAAGAUGAGUUGAAACGAAAAAGAAAAUUGAUUUUAAUUGAAAAGAAAAAAGAAAAUUGUUUUUUAGUUGAUUUGGAAGGACAAGGUCCUCUGCCUACGUACCCGUGAGGGAUCAAAACCUCGUAGUUCGGGGUAGAAAUUGACGUUUGAUUGGUUUUAUAUUUUUUAUUAGUUUUUGAAAAAAGGUUUGAAAUAAAAAGCCAAGUGGCAAAUGAGAAUUGAUUUGUGUUUUUUGGAUUGAAGGAAAUAGACUUGAAGUAGAAUUAAAAUUGAUUUGAGAUUUGAUUAAGAAAGAAAAUAGAAAUAGCGAUCACUUCAUUGAAAGUCAAGGUUUGUUAUAAAAAUAUUUUUUUGUGAUUUUUUGAUAUUUGGAUGUUUUUGCCGUUUUUGAAUAAUGAAUGAAAAUUAAACUAACAGAGCAAUGAAAAUAAAAGUGCGUGGGCGUGAAGAAAAGAUUUUGGUUUAUGUUAGUUCGACAAUAUAAAUAGUAUUUAAUAUAUGUUGUGUUCACUUUGGAUAUUAUCGGACAAAAUUUUGACAAUAAUAAAAAUAAUAAUAGUAAAAUAGAAUAAAAAAUAGAAAGACUAAAGUGAAUCAAAAUGAGAUAAAAAGAUAAAUAUUUAAAACGGAUUUAAAGUUAAUAAAAGAUGGAAACUAAAAUUAAAUGAAAUUUGAAAAUUGAGAGAAGAGGGUCCGACUUGGAACCAAAUAUGAGGUAUUUUAAAAUACCUUCCUAUCGAAAUUUUGUUCGAAAGGCUGAGACCGGUCGGAGUUAAAUGACACGUGUCAGUGCUGCCUUAGGUCAAAAAUUGGGGUAUGACAAUUAGCUCAAUAAUUAAUUAUUGUGAUUUCUUCAUUUUAUAUUUAUAUUUAAGAAUAAAAAAAAAAAAAUGACGAUAUCAACUUUGACACAUUACAUAUUCAAUCAAUGUUGACUUGACCAUCAAUGCUACAUAUCCGGAUGUAAGAGUAGUUCGACGAGUUUAUUUUUGUCACUUUUGUUGAUAUUUUGUUGGUUUAUGCUAUUAACUUGCAUCUAGUAAACUUGUUCAUAGCUUCAUCAUUUUCAGUUUUAGUGACAUGAUAUUUGUGUUGUAUUCAAUGUGAUUUACCGCGCGAUAUGAAUAAUAUAUAUUUUUAGUCAAAAUUAAUCAUGUCGGACCUGAGAUCUUUGGUUUGAUGGCGUUGAACGACCUUUGAGUAAGACAAUGUUAAACCAAAAUGAGUUUUAUACAAUGCCUCUGAAGUUUUGAUAAUAACAAAGUAUAAAAAGAACAAUUGAAUAUGCCAAUGUUGUUCAAGUAUGCUCGACCAUAUAUUAAAAUUCAAAGUAUUAAAUCAAGUUUUGAUUCUGAAAGAACAAGAUUAUGAACAUAUACAAGAGCAUCUGCAACUUAUGAGAAGCUGGAAAUUUGGAUCAGACUCUGAAUAAGUAAGACUGUGAAAGUCGGGAGUGUAACACCCUGAACCCCACAUACUAUUUUUAAAAGUAAUAAUUCAACAUUUAAAUAAACAUAUCAAGAUGUUACUCUUCAUUUUCAACACAUAACAAGUCUCCAUCUUAAAAUAUCAACUCACAGCGGAAAUAAGUCUCAACAACACAAAUGUCAUACAUCAUAUCUCAGAAUAAGUACAUCAUCAAAAUAAACUCAAGGUUCCUCAAACAUAAUAUGAUAACAUAAAUAAAAUCCCAACAUCCUAAUCAGAGAACCACUAGACAAGACUCCAAAAUCAAAGCGGUAAAAGAUGAGUAGGCUGCAAGCCGUCCUCGGAAACUCAUGGUAACUUUGCGUCCUCAACCUGCAAGUCUCCACCACAAGGGCGUAGGCGACCAUUUGCCAAACGUAGGGUAAGAUAUAAAUUUAACAUAGAGGAAAUAUGAACACAUAUAUAGUAUUAGGAUCGCAACAUCAUAUACAAGUAUUCAUCUUAAGCAAUACCAUAUUAACAUGCAUUCUCAUUGAUUGGUAAAAUAUACACAACAAAUCUCAAAUCAUCAUCACAAGAAUAUAAAAAAGUAAACACAUCAUUGAUUAAUCAUCCAAUGGAAUACAUAGGAUUCACACAUUAUCACUUUCAUUAAAUCACACAUUUUCCAUAAAAUACACAUAGUCAUGUAUGCAUCUUUCACAUAGAUUCACAUAGUCAAGUACUCAUCUUCUACAUAGACUCUCAUGUACGAAAUGUUCCUACUCGACUUUAUAUGCAUGUGGUACUGUUUUCGAUAUCAGAGGUAUUUUCUGAGUGAUUUCACCGUCACUUGGACUGACCAUGAAUGCAUGAACAUCUCAUCAUGACUCGACAAUGCAUAAUUCAUAUAACUCGACAAUUUACAUCAACAACAUCAUCACAUCGUAUAUUAAUUCAUCGUCGCUAUAUCAUCAUCAUCAUCAUCAUCAUCAUCAUCAUCAUUUUCAAUGUCAUUAUAUCAUCAUCAUCAUCAUCAUAUCAACAUCUAUAUAUAGUUCAAAUCAUCAUGUCAAACCAUAUCAAUAUGUAUCCACCUCGUCUCGCAAUCACAUUCACAGUCAUCAUCAUUAUAUAUUCAUAAGACAUUAUUCUACAUCAUCAAGUAUACUUCGUUAAUCAUCUAACAAGUUCACAGUCAUUUCAUGAUUCAAUUAUAAUUAAAUCACAAGUUUAUUUCUAACCAUUUCAAUUGCUAAGUUUACUUCCAUCAUAAGCUAGGUUAAUUACUCUUACACAUCAAAAUUAUACUUCUAUUAAUCAAGUUUAGAGGUUUGUGACAUAUUCACAUGCAUUGGAUACCUUAAAAUACCAAAAAUAUGAGUUUCCCACUAUAGGGAGGGUUGCACGGUAGUGCCAUCCAGGUGCACAGUCGUGCUCAUCAUGCAGGUAGGGAAAAGCUAUAAUUUUUGCGUUUUGCUCAGGAAGAACCCCUUUCAACACCAUUUUUCGAUCCAAUUCACACCAAACUAGACCCAAAUCAUAAAACUAAUGUUGUCUAAUCAAUUACACAUUAAUUUUACCUUAACUAACUUUAUUAUACUCAUUAUUAUCGUCAAUUAACAUGAACUUCAAUUGUUUUAAACUUAUCACUUCAAACCCAUUUUUAACAUGGUAAUUCAAACCCCAAACAUAGUAACAACCAAAUCAACAUCCCUUAUUCAAAAUGAACACAAAAAAAUUCAUCAAUUCACAUUAUAAACAUCAACUCAACAAUUAUCAACAAUUAUCAUGAAUUUCACCAAUUUCACAUAAAACUCAAAAACCCUAAUUCACCAUAAUCAAACAUUGAUUUUAACACAACUGUUAGGUUUGUAGUCUUGACAUGUUGGUGCGACAUCAUAGCGUGCCUUGUUCCGAUUUCUUGGAGAUUGUAUUUAAAUGUGAAAUCGCAGAAGAAAACUAAACGCAUCACAACUAAGAAAAGGUAGAAUAAAACCUUUCUACAAACAAAGCGCACAUCACUUGAAAGCAAAAUAAAUACGCAACUAAAUUUCAAAAAAGAUAUGCAUAAAUUAUCAUAGAAUAAGGCACCAAGUAACACGUUCUUACGUCUCAGAUUACCAAAUGGCUCUCCGAAAAAUAACCAGAGUAUGAUAAAAUUACAGAUUUCCCAAAACAAAAGGAACAUAAACUAAAAUACAAAGCACGAAAACAAAGAAGACACAACAACAUAACUCUUCAUCCACUAACUUUCCAUCAACCAAAAUCUUGGAGGGGUCCAGCUCGCUCACAUUAUCAUCAGGGUUAAAAUGCAGAACUUGCGCCCUAGUAUGCUCAAAGCCAUUGUCAAAAUAUAAGGCAAGAUCCCCCUUGCCAUCCUCAACGACGAAUUGAGCUUUGGCGAGAUCCCCUUACAACUAGACGACCUUCUUCUUCCAUGAAUCUCUCUCCAGCUCAACAACUUCUUUUUCAUCCUUCAUAUCUUUGGUCGUCUUCUCUGCAGUCUUCUUAUCCUCCAAGGCUUCCUUCAACCUACUUUCAAGACCCGUUGCUUUAUGCUUCCACUUCUCCACAUCUUCAUGAGCGUCUUUAUACUUUGCCUCUAAAGCACCAUGUUUCUUCUCCAUCACUUUUCCUAAUAAAAGGACCCGGAGCACUAAUAUUCUUGUAUCCAUUACUAGCUCGCCAAAUUUGCUUUUAACGCCAGCAUCAACGUCAACCUUAGACAGUGGCACUUUAUCCUCCAUGUAGCUACGAUAAACGCAUGACUUAAAAGUUGAAAACCCACUAACAUUACUAGAAUUUAAGUAAAAUCUCAUCAUCAAAUUAAACUCUCAUACCUACGAAAGUCGAAAUCUUUAUGCCAAAAAGAGUCAGCCACCUGAACAUUCAGAGAAAUGGUUCCCGCCACCCCGCUAGCAUAAUCAUCAUCCUUCCGACUGGCAACAAAUGUCCGCUUCGAGUCGCCCUUCCCAGUCCUCAUCUUCUUGCGUCUGGGCGAGUCAGUUUGCUCAGCCAGUACCCCAUUGCCUGCCGUCUCCAUGUUAUCAAUGUCCAUAUCCGAAUGUAACAUCCUAAAAUUUUAAGUCUAUAUUCAAAUGUAGUUAAAAAUAUAAAACAUAAUAGUGUAAUUAUUUUAAAAUACGCGAAGAUAAAAAUAAAGACAAAUAAAUAUGAUAUAAUUUCUUAUUAAUAAUUAAAUUUUAUUGGAUAAAAAGAAAAGGAGAAAGAAAGAAAAACAAAAAUAAAGGGAGUGCAAAUAACAAUUAUUUUUAGAAAAGAAAAAAAAAGUUAUAUACUUUCUCGAAUUUUUUUUCUGCCCUUGUUUAUGCAAAAAAAUACAAAAAUGCCCCACUUUUUCGAAAAAUUGCGUAAAUGCCCUACUUUUUCAGAAGCCCCUGGUACUACUCCACUUGGAGUUGCGGGGUACCCUAAAAAGUCACAAUUUUUUUGUCCUUAUUGUACGCCGCUACUUGGACUUGCGGGGUACUUUCCUACUUUUUUUUUUCCACUUUUUUUACUACCCCGCGAGUCUUAGCUUUUGCUUUUUUUUUUAAAAUUUUUUUUUUUUAAAUACCCCUCUACUUGGAGUAGAGUGGUAUAAUGAAGACAAAAAAAAUUCAACGUGUAAUAAUUACUCUCAAAUAAUAAAAAACUAAUUAAAAUUAUAUAACCAAUAAAAUACCAUCUACAAUGAUUAUAAAUGCCCGGCUGUCCCACACCUUCGUCUUCGACGAUCUCUUCCGCGAUUUACUUGAGGGUUAUGUUGGUCUUCGUCAUUUUUAUUUGUAGUUGAUUGUAUCUGACUACCAUAACCCAGUGACAACGACACAUCGUGUUCUCUUGUUGGCCAUCCCAUAUCCAGAAAUUGUUCAUUGGAGUUCAACGAAGUCGGAGAGAAGUGAGAUAAUAGGUUUGUUGGUGUUGGUGGGUGGUUGUAGUUUUGGUUGGUGUACAUUGGGUAUUGUGGGUUGUUGUAGGGGGGUAAUUGGUGUUGGACGGUCCAGCUUGGUUUGGGUCAUUAUAGGAGAAGUAGUUGUUGUUGGAUGUGUUAGCUUGGUUUGGUUCAUUGUAACCAUAAUUUGUCAUUGAAUUUUGUUGGUAAGUUGACUGAUAUUGGGGCUCAUAUGCAUUUCUCGGGGAGGUAUAUGGUGGUGGUUGGAUGAUAUUUUGUUGGGGGGUGUCGAGAAAUUCAUACAUUACAGAACCAUGAAUGUUUUGUGUUGUAUGUGGUUGGGAUUGAUGAUCUUGUAGUUGAGAAAAAAUGUCUUGAUCCCAAAAAUCAUCAUGAAUUGGUGUUUGGUUGUUGUGAAUUUCAGGUUCAUGUUCCGGCUCCGGCUCUUCUUGUUCGUCUGGAUCUGAAUCUGAUGGUUUUGUCUCAACUGAAAUCCUUAGACGUGGGUUGCAUGUGGUUGUCAACCACUCAAUAUACGCAUGAGUUGGGGUGAGUGAUCUUGGCCGCAUGUGAGGUAAAAUAUAACUCCGUCGGUUGUCCCAAUGUAAGCUCUCUUGUGGAAAGUGAAAACCAUUUGAUUGGUACCACAUCUUGAACCGUUUGUCCACUAUAUGGAAUUGUCGCAUGUCUCGUGGGGCCCCUGGUAUUUCCUGUGGCAAACCAAAUUCUAGCUUGACCCUAUCAGUUGGAUGCCAUUCAACUCUGUCAAAACAUAUAAGGUGAGUUGUUGCAGUCCACUCCCAAUAGUCUUCAGGAAAAUUGUGUGGAACAUUCUUGUAUGGUCUCCAUUUAAACUGGCAGAAGAGAGAAGUUGUAGUGUAAGGUUAACAAUUUUGAUAUAUAUAUAUAUAUAUAUAUAUAUAUAUAUAUAUAGUUCGAUAGGUGAAAUAUAUAUUCAUUAUUAAUUAAAUAACUCCUAAUUAAAUACUUGUAAAAAAACUCAUGAUUAAAUAAAUAAUUAAUUUAUAAUCGCGACAUUUUUUUAGUCCUAUAUUAAUUGCAUGUCCUACUUUUUUUUUUCUUACAAAAGAAAGUUAACAUAUAGCUUUUUAUUUCUUUACGACCAUGAAAGUGUUAAUAUGUAGCUUAAAUAACAAAAUAUCUUAAUUAUAUUUAAUUAGACCAUGAAAGUUAGUUUACCCUUGAAAUUACAUAAAAAAAAAAUUACCGUUCAAUAUAUAUAUAUAUAUAUAUAUAUAUAUAUAUAUAUAUAUAAACUCAUACAUUCAAAAAUCAAUUAUAAUAUUACUUGAUGUUCCAGUAUGUCAUCAAACUUUUUUCUGUAAGAUAUAGUGUCAUGGCUUGGAUUCUCGUAGUAUCUUGAACCUGCACCUGUCCAUCUAACAAAUGAUAUAAACAAAUUAGUAGCUAAUUUAUCAAAUAAUAAUAUUAAUAAGAAGCGAGAAUAUGCGAGGAAAUUAACAAAAAAAAUAAAUAAAUUAAUUGACCACGAUUACUUUAAUCCUAGCGGCUACUGGAGUGGGUUAUCAUUUCUCGGAGCGAUAUAACUCAACCGACAAUAUCCCCAAACUUGUAACAGAAAAUGACAUCCAGAUAGUGCUUUUAUAUUUGGGUGUGAUGCCUCACACAAGCCACGAUAAAGGUAAGCCAAAACUGCCGAUCCCCAACUAUAAUUUCUUGUUUCAUUAAAAUCCAUUAACAAAUACAACCAAGAGUUGUGCACAAAUAAUCCAGUUGUAUUAGGAAACAAGAACCCUCCAAAGAGGUAUAGUAGGUACCUCCUGUGUGUUGUAUUUUUACCUCCGGAGGAGAUUGUUCACUGAAGUUAUUAUCGACCAGAUUAUCCUUUAAUCACGACAACGAGAGAGUAAAACCAUCAGUUUUGUGUGCUGGAGGAGUUAUUCCCAACAAUUGAGCACAAUUAUUCCACAGAAGAUUUGGAGGAGCCGUAACAAUUGGUCCUCCAAAAGGUAAGCCGAGUAAAAUAUAUACGUCUUCAAACGUGAUUGUACAUUCACCCGUUCGAAAAUGAAAAGUAUGUGUUUCGGACCGCUAUCUUUCUACAAGAGUGGUUACGAUGUGCCUAUCAAUUUUGUAACGCCCUAUUUGAGAAACCUCAAAAAAUCCAGCUUGACGUAGAUAAUCUUCAAUAUAAGGACUUGGUAUGAUGUUUUGCCGUGUACGAGUGGUUAGAGGUGCACCCUCUGCAUCCUAACAAAAAAUAAUAAAGGAAUAAAAUUAAAACAUAAUCAAAAUAUAAAUUUAAAAAAACGUGAACAUAUUUAAAUUAAUAUUAAAAAAUAAAAAUGACAUUAACAAAUUAAUAUCUAUAUAUACCCAUCUUCUUAUAUGUUCUUCCAUGGAUCUAUGAUCAUUUUCCAACCACAAGUAUGCCAUUGCUUUAUAGAAUUUGAUUGAAAUAAUCUCUUAUGUGAGUGAGUAAGGAAAGGAUUGAGAUAAGUAGAAUAUGUGUAAAGAGUAAAAAUAUAGUUGUGGUAUUUAUAAUGUAAAACUAUGUGUAAAUGGUAGAAGUAGUAGUGUGGUAUUUUAAUCAAUGAAGUGAAGAGUUCCUGUGUUACUACUGCAACGCAUGCAAGCCAACAGUGUUCAAAUAAACAUAGAAAUGACAAUUGCAUCAAUAGCAGAAGCAUGGUGUUCAACAAUAUUGAAUUAAUUCGUAAACUUUGCCUCAUGAGAUGACCAUUGCAUGUAAAAAAUACAUUAAUUUCUUGCAAGAAAUUUUUGACUGAAAUGACCAAUGCAUGUUUUGAUCACGUGAAGCAUGCUAGCAAACAAAUGGCCGACAAGCUGCCUCUGAAUAACCAAUAGGAACGGCGCGUGCAAAUACUACCCCGCCACUCUGGGUUGCGUGGUACCCCCAGCUGGCGCAUGCUUUACAUACCCCGCCACUCCAGCUUGCGUGGUACCCCCCAGCUGGCGCGUGCUUUACCUACCCCGCUACUCUAGCUUGCGUGGUACCCUCUAGCCCGCUAGUCCAAACUGCGUUGUACCUUUUUUAAUUUUCCCGCUCGAAGGGCAGAUUAAAUUACAUGUUAGUAUAAAUAAAAGUGGUCUGCAUGAUAUCAUUGUAUCAAACCAUUCUACUUCAUACUCUUACUCAUUUCUUAAGAUCAAACCAAUUCAAUGGCACCAAAUAUAAACGUUUUUGUGUACUAUAAUGGAGAAGUUAAACAAAAUGAAUCCGGUAUUUUUUUUCAAAGUCAGUAUACCAAAGGUUUUAAAGUCAGCAUGGCUAGUACUUACUUGCAUCUCAAAAGAAGAAUUGCGGAAAAAGUAUGUCUCGAAGAUAAUAUGGUUGUGUCUGAAAUUAUGUGUCGGAAUCCUAUGUUUGUUGGAACUACCACAAUUCAUUACCAGGCGUUAAGAAUAACUGAUAACGACGAUGUCGAGUUUAUGUUUAACGUACAUAAAAGUCACAGUUCUUUGUCCUAUAUAGAGCUUUAUGUUACGUUUGAGAUGAAGAAUCCAACAUCUAAUUUUGAGUUAAAUUACCCAUCGAGUUCUAGUCAACACCAAAGUCUACCACAACACUACAAUCCGUCAUCGUCGCAAGAACACUACAACCCAUCAUCGUCCCAACCGCACUAUAACCCGUCUCCCAUUUAUGAUGCAUCCUUAUCGCAACCUUUUCAGUCAAAGUGGUCACAAAAUGUGUACGAACCAUCACAAAUAAUAACUCAACCUCAUCCCUCUCAAACACCAUCUCGUUCAACACAACCCAAAACCUUAAACGAUGAAAUCAAUAUAUUCACCUCCCAAUUUCAAGACCAACCAAAUGAUGAAGUUCAAGAUGAUGAAGACGAUGAUGAUGAAGAACUCCUUGCCGCACAAAACGGUGACGAGAACGAAGAAGACGAAGACGACGAUCUGCCACUACUACCAAUUUUACCAAUCAGAGCUUCUUACAACCCACCAAGGUCCAUGCGCAACGUCAAUGAUGACCACUCAACUGAACUUUAUCAUUCAAUGGCUCUUCCGGUCGAUCAAGGUAUUGCCCUAGGGAUGCAAUUUCAUAACAAGAAUGAUUGCAUUCUCGCAAUUAAAUUUUAUCACAUGAAAAAAUCAACGGAUUAUAUUGUGAAAAAAUCAGAUCCUGAAAGGUAUGUCAUCAAAUGUAAAGAUACAAAAUGUGGUUUCAAAUUGCGGGCCUCGUGGAGGAAAAAAACUGAUAAAUGGGAGAUUGGGAAAAUGAAUGAUCAUACAUGUGUCUCAACAGAAAUGACGCAAGAUCAUCAUAAACUUAGUUACAAUGUGAUAUGUGAAAGUGUUAAAUCACUACUACAUAUGGAUACUUCAAUUACAGUGAAGGUUAUAAUUGCACACAUCCGAGAGAAGUUUAAUUACACAGUUUCAUACAGAAAGGCAUGGAGAGCACGGAAUAAGGCGAUUAAAUCAAUUUAUAGUAAUUGGGAGGAGUCUUAUGAAGAACUACCACAAUGGUUGAUGGUCAUGGAAAAAGAUUUGCCAGGAACAAUAAUUGAUUUUCAAACGGACCCAUCAACAGAAGUGGCAAAUGAGACCGUCUUCAAGCGUCUUUUUUGGGCCUUUCGUCCGUGCAUCUCAGGUUUCGAAUUCUGCAAACCAAUUGUCCAAAUUGACGCAACUUGGUUGUAUGGUAAAUACAAGGGAACAUUGUUGUUAGCUGUUGCGCAAGAUGGGAACAACAAGAUAUUUCCCAUAGCUUUUGCAAUCGUGGAAGGCGAGACCAAGGAGGCAUGGAGUUUCUUUUUGAAAAAUUUAAGGCAGCAUGUCACCCCACAAGAGAACAUAUGCCUCAUUUCUGAUAGACAUGUGUCGAUAAAGAGCGCGUAUGAUGAUCCACAGAAUGGAUGGCACGAUGCUCCGACAAGCCAUGUUUAUUGUGUCCGACACAUUGCACAAAACUUUAUGAGAUCAUUCAAGGAUGGAGAACUAAAGAAGAAAGUUGAAUGCAUGGGUAAAAAUCAUAUCUCUUUCCACGUAAAUUCGACAUUUUAUUUGUUUAAAAUGACACAUCUAACUUUUUUCAAAACAAUGCAGGUUACGCCAUGAACAUCCCUACAUUCGAAUACUACCGUUCUGAAAUUGCUGUUGCAGACCGAAAGGCUUUAGCAUGGGUCGACAAUAUUCCCAAACAAAAGUGGACUCAAUCACAUGAUGAUGGUCGACGAUGGGGCCAUAUGACAAGUAACUUGGUAGAGUCACAAAACAACGUGUAUAAGGGUAUUCGAGGACUUCCGAUCACAGCUAUCGUGAAAGCAUCAUAUUACAGGUUGGCGGCCUUGUUUGCUAAAAGAGGACAUGAGGCAGCGGCAAGGGUAAAUUCUGGUGAGCCAUUCUCAGAAAACAGCAUGAAAUAUCUCAGGAAUGAGGUGAUUAAAUCCAACAGUCAUCAUGUCACACAGUUUGACCGGGAUCGGUAUACCUUUUCCGUCCGUGAAACCAUCGACCAUAAAGAAGGAUUGCCAAAGGGAGAAUACAAGGUGGACCUGCAAAAUAAAUGGUGUGACUGUGGACGAUUCAGAGCGUUACACCUACCAUGCUCACAUGUCAUUGCCGCAUGUUCUAGCUUUUCUCACGACUACAAGACUUUUGUCGAUAACAAAUUCACGAAUGAGUGUGUAUACGCCGUAUACAACAUCCACUUCGACGUGGUUCACCACCAGACAUAUUGGCCUAAUUAUGAAGGACUGAAGGUGGUUCCCAACAAGUCCAUGUGUAGGGUAAAGAAAGGUCGUCCACCAAUUACUCGCAUUAGGACCGAGAUGGACGAUGUGGAAACUGAGAGAAGAUGCGGCGUUUGUAGGAUGCCUGGUCAUUCCCGCAAAGAUUGCAUUAAUAUUAGACACCAGUAAAAAUCUAGUCUUUAUUUCGUUUGUAGGAUGUAUGGUCAUUUCCACAAAUAAUUGUAGAUUUUAUGGUAUUUUAUUGGUUAUAUAAUUUUAAUUAGUUUUUUAUUAUUUGAGAGUAAUUAUUACACGUUGAAUUUUUAUUUUUUUUUGUCUUCAUUAUACCACUAUACUCCAAGUAUUUAAAUUUUUUUUUAAAAAAAGCAAAAGCUAAAACGCAAGUCCAACUUGCGGGGUAGUAAAAAAAGUGGAAAAAAAAAAGGAAAGUACCCCGCAAGUCCAAGUAACGGGGUACAAUAAGGACAAAAAAUUUGUGACUUUUUAGGGUACCCCACAACUCCAAGUGGAGUGGUACCAGGGGCUUAUGAAAAAGUAGGGCAUUUGCGCAAUUUUUCGAAAAAGUGGGGCAUUUUUUUAUUAUCUUUGCAUAAACAAAGGCAGAAAAAAAAAAUUCUACUUUCUCCCCACGUUUUCUCAAAAUUUGUUUCUAAAAUAAUAAUAAAAAAAGAAAUAGUUAUUUCAGAAAGAGAAACCGUGUGAUAUUUUUUAAUUAGUGUACACCUACACUUCUCAUGUGCCUAUAAAUAAGAUGCUUAGUUGAACAUAAACUCACACUACAAAACUCUCCUCUCUCUAAAAAAUCAGGUUAGUUCUCUCUCUCUCUCUCUCUCUCUCUCCUUUUCUGAACUUUCUCUAUUCAAUCUAUAGUCAUUCUUUAUUCUUUUGAAAGAGACAAGAUUUACUACUAAAAUAACCUCAGAUUUGGUCCCCACAACCCUUCUUUUGGGAAGAACAACAACAUAGUAUACCCUUCUUUUGGGAAGAACAACAACAUAGUAUUAGAAUGUUCUUUUAUCAGAUGAGAAAGUGACAGUAGUUUAGUUCUUUUCAACCUAAUCAAACCAUGAAAAUAGUUUAGCUCUUUUCAACCAUUCUUUUUCAACAGAAACAUCAUUCAAUAAAAUAAAAUAAAGAGAUCUCAGAUCUGUUUUAGACUUUUAGUAGAAAAAAUUACACGAUUUAAUUAUUGUAUUUUUUAUACUGAUACAAACUAUGAAGAUUGAAACAAAGUUCAUAAGAAAGUUGAGAUCUUGUUUAAUUCAUAUUUUUAGUUUAAAGAAAAAUAAAGAAAUGAACAUUGUUUUAAGAAUGACGUAAUGACUAUUAAAUGGCUUUUAAACAUUCUGACUAUAUAAAAAGGUAGUAACAUAAGUUUCAUUUGAAAUAAAAUAAAAUCAAGCUAUUAUUAAAAUAUAUCUAAUAUAAUCUGAAGAAAAAAAAAGGACGUGAUACAGAGAAACAAAGGAAUUAGAAAACUUUAACUCGUUAUCUCUAUUAUUAUGACCUUGAUAAUGACUAUAGUCUAAUAGAUAGUUUAUUUUGGGUGAGUAUUCUAGGUGAUAUUGGAGCUGCUUUCGACGGAAACAAUAUUGCAACCACUUGCGAAGAAUCCGAAGGUAAGGGGAAUUACUACUAAUAAAUUUUAAAGAUUUUGCAUAAGUUAUGUGCUUAAGUGAUUAUAUGUGAGUAAAUAACUCUACUUGUGAGAGUUAAUUUCUCGAUGAUGUGGUAAUUUCUAGCGAUCAAGUACAUGUCAAAGGACAUCGACUUAUAUGUGUUUUAGUUAAUAUAAUUAGGAGUUUUUGAAAAUAUAAUACAUAAGUAGAAGAAAAAGUUUUGUAAAUGAUGAAUUGAUUAGAUAGUUAUAUUAUGUUUAUUUGGUAUUACUCUUGUGUAAGUGAAUGAGCAUAUGAAUUUCAAUAAGUGUUAACUGAUUUCGAUGAGUGAAAUUAGUUGGAAAUAUAUGAUUUAAAGUGUCAAUUAUGAUUCGACGCGAUAAUUUAUAAUGUUAAUCAUGAUUAAAAACUUCUCUAUAAAAAGAAAUGAUCUAAGAGAGAUAGUUGUAUCCCACCUCAUUAAUUUUAUGGUAUCAACUCAUAGGUAUGUUGUAAAGGAAAGAAACUUAAGAAUGCCAAACUAUGAUCACUAACUUAGUACGUAGACAUAGUAUAUAUAGUUAUAUUGUACGUGUAGGAAAUUCUUUAAAACAAAUGUAUAUGUGCUUUUUAACUAGGCAACAUGAAUUAUUCUUUGUUAAAAUCUCAUGAAUAAAAAGAACAUGUACUAGUUUAAUUGAAUUACCUAAGUUCUUACUUACUGCUGAAAUUUCUAUGCUUAUAAAUAAAUGAAAAAGAACAUAUGCUGGUCAUUAAUUGUUCAGUUAUUAUGUACUGGCUUGAUUUACUUGCUGGAAUUUCUAUGCUUAUACAUAAAUGAAGAGGGACAUAUGCUGGUUAUUAUUUGUUGAGUUAUUAUAUACUGGUUUGAUUUACAUCACUGUACUAAUUGAAUAAAAUUCUGAUGUGGCUAAUCAAUUUUAUAAACAUAAAUGGUUAAUUGUUUGACAUUGUUGAGUUGAAUAUGAGUGUUUUGUCUUGUCUAGAAAGUAGGGACAAUUAAGGAGCUAUAACAGGUCCCUAUACACUCAGGUGUAGAUGAGAAUGAGGAUAGUUAUGGUUUGGUUACUUUGAGGAUCUAUCGAGGGCACUUGUGUUUCGAACGCCUAUCAAUAGUUGGGGAUUGCUUCCCGGCUGAAAGUACUCGUACUACCAGACACGGUGAGCCUGAAAAAACUAGACUAUCUAUGAUAAGGUAGUGCGAUCGGACUAGAAUGAUUAGAGUUUAAGCAUAUCUUGCUCAAAAUACUAAUAAUCAUGAUAUAGUUGCCGAAACGGCCUUAUGCUCAUUAGAGUGGAACCUCCAUGGAGUAGUGAAUUAUGAGAAGAAAAUAAACUAGAGUCAAGAAAAAAAAAGUCAAAAGAGUUCAUGCAUGUGUCAUGUUGAAUGUCAAACUAUUAAUUCAAAUUGGACCUCUUAAAAGAUAGUUUUUUUUUUUUUUUUUUUAUAAUAUGCUUUGUGAUUGUUGUUGGACAGUGAAUGAAAAGAAAAUAUUAUAUCUAUGUAAAUAUCAUUUUACCUUGCUGUAUAUAUAUUAUUUUCUUUUUCCUUAUGUAAUAAAUCACGUGGAAAACUUGUGUACGAGUAAUUCACCCUUCUUUGUUUGUUUUUGUAUCUUGUUGUUUUUUUUGGGUAUGUUCGGACGUUUUUAUAGAUGAUGCCAGAAAGACAUUUAGCUCACUCGGGAACCCGCAUGAUCGAGUUCCUUGAGGUAUUUUCUUUUGCAACACUUAUUAAAGAAGAAAGUAAUAAUAAAUCAAAACACUCACACAAAGACGCCUCAAGACUAUUGGAAUCACCCUAUCGUAUCAAAAGCUCAUGAAUAUCCAUAAGUAAAAACUUCUCCAAAAAGAACACCAUACCCUACUCAUAGGGUGCCAUCUUAUUAAAAUCAUACCCCAUCACUGCAAUCGGAGCAAUGAUCCAACAUAAAGGAAACUUUGGUUUUCCUUCCACCAUCACCAACGAAGUUGAGCCCUCAGGCUCUCCUUGCACCCUAACAAACGAAUCACACCAAUCCUUCUUAAAGUUAGAAGCAUAAGGAGGGAAAAGUUUUUUACUAGGAUAGGCACUAAUUGAAACCCACAUUCCCUUGUUUACAUCUUUCGUCCUAUAAAAAUGGAAGAAGACGCCAACAGAAGGCUCCAAACUCAUCCUUACAAAGUAGUUUGAAUCCACGAAUAAACGCCUAGCUAUUAGGACGUAUUUGCGAAGGCGCCACAUUCAGAAACUUUAGCACAUCCAUCUCAAAAUCCGUAAAGGGUCGUCACCCCAAACUCUUCCAACACCGUCAUAUACAUAAGAAAGGAAUCAUCCCUGACACCCUCCAAACGCUGAUCGCACACUCUCUCGCCUACAUCACAGGGCGACACUGUCACAUCUUUCUCGUUCUCAGUAGCAGAAGUAUCCAUCUUGUUUCAGAAUAAAUUGAUAUCCGAAGGCGACAUAUAUGAAAACACCGCUCGAAGAACUUCUUCAGCUAAAUGAUUCAUCUCCAACUCAUAAGAAUACGUCAAACACAUAAUCUCUUUUUGAGUAGACGGAAGAGGCAUAUAAUGACAAAUCUCUUGACAAGUUUUCCCCCUACGACAAAUCACUAUCACUACCAUUAGAGCUAUCGCUACUAGUGUUGCUAUCAUUGGACAAUUCCCCUAAAACCCUACGAUAAAAAAGCCCUAAUUCGUAAGCUUCCCAAUCAAUCAAGUCAUUAGGAUGUGUUGCAUGUCUUAAAGAAUCUCUCCUCAGUUGGUCUCUCUCAUCAAAAUUCGUAGGAGAGAAGGCGAAAAAUGAGAGAAGGAAAAUGGAAGAGUACUUGAGAAGAUUGAAAACGUGAGCUUAGAAAUCCAGACAAUCAGCUGGCAAGUGCGCGAAUACGGAGAACUAAAAGGCGAAAAAUGCGGAAGUGAAAUGAGGAAAGGAAGGAAAUGAAGGGUCAAAGAGUUUUAGAGGACAACAACAAUUAAAACCCCCUCAAAAAACACGCUCAUCCUUGGCACGAUUGGAGACACGUGUCAAGAUACACCCAGAUUCGAACACGUCACUAUCAUCGAAAGGUCACACAUUUUGGACCAUACAAUCAUGUUAAAAAUGAAAGAUCUCGUCGAUAUAGAAUUUCAAAAAACUCGUUGCCAACUCCUCAAACAGGAAACUUACUCGCCGUGCUGUUACAAAUCACUUCGCCUUGUCCCAAGACUCGUGGUUGGGGGCUGUGAACAAACAUCAGGCAUAAAACGCAUGACUCGACUAGCACACACCCUAGGGGGCUCUAGGAUAAAGCAUAAUCACCCAAGGGGGACUCUGUAAGCUCCAACAACAACAUCCAAAGACAUACACAAAAAAUACUGAUAAACGUAAAAUAAAUUCCAAAUGCUAAUUAAUCAUUUCGCCUUGUCCCAAGACUCGUGCUUAGGAGGCUUUGGACCGUCAAUAUCUUCUUAAGGACCUAGAAGUCCUCCCAAAGGGCAUUUAGACCCUCCUAGAUGCCUAACACCCUUCAAAAGGGCUCUAAGGCCCAACACGCGCCCUUCCUAGGGAGCCGCCUCUACCAGCUUCUAAAACCUCCAAAGCUCGGCCUAAAUACCUAAUACGAUUACAAACCCUAAUACCUCAUUACGUAUAGCUUAAGAACCAUAAAUCAGGCCAAUAGAGGGCUAUAAAUACAACCUUUGAGAGCCUUCUGAAGGCAUGACCAAUACAUUACAAACCCUAAUACGAUUAUUGUACUUUUGCAAGUACAAUGAGGAAGGCGAUAUUGACAGGGAAAGUUUCCACCUAAUUUGGGCUAAAAACAUGGACUUUUGGGGGUAAAAAAGUCACAAAAAGUGACUUUUUUCGCAAGGAGCAGGGCGCCUAGCGCAUAAUGGCAUGCACCUAGCUCAUGUUCCUGCUAGGCUGAGGCGCCUAGUGCCCCUUUCAUGCGCCAGACGCUUCAGUUGUUUAGCUUAGGGGCACCUAUUGUGCACCUGGGUGCAUAAGUGCCUUUUCAGUGCCUUUUCAGUGCUGUUUUUCUUGUUUUCUUUGCCUUUUGAGGUGUUUUCUUCAAUGUAAGAUGUCUUGGAACUUGAGAACAAAAUUCCUUCCUUUGUAAAGACUUCUGAGGCAUCUUGAAUCUUCAUUAUUCAUCUUCCCAAGGUCCACAUAAAUCUUCAAAUGUCUUGCAUUGUCUGAUUUGCUUGAUUUCUUCGUGAAUUACUUCAACAACACCCUAAAAUUGCUAUUUUUCAGGAAGAAUAGAAUUACAAACUCAAUAUAAAAUACAUUACAAAUGUACCGAAAUCAUAGGCAAUUGAUCAAAUACUCUUCUUCUUUGCUGGUAAAACCUACUGAAAUUGACUGAAAAAUGUAACAGCCCUAUUUUCGUUAGAUUUAUUUUAAUUGUUUUAAUAUGUGUUUAUUUAUGCUUAUGUGUGAUUAUUAUCAUUGGGUGCAUUUUUAUGGGUUUUCGUGUUGGAAGGAUAAUUUAGUAAUUUCAUGUAAGGAUUAUUUUUAGUGUUUCAAGUGAGAACCAUUAUUUACUAAGUUACUAGUGUGGUAAUUAGUUGUGAGCCGGUAAGUGAUCGUUGUUAUUAUUUUACCGUUAAGGGAGUAGAAACAUUUUAGAAUUAGUGAAUUAGUGGGUUAAGCCCACUAAGGCAUUAGGGUUAAACCCAAUUGAGAAGAGCCUAUAUAAGUUCUAGAUUUUAGAGAAAAAUAGGUUUCCACUUCAUUUCAUAAGAAUUUUGAGAGAGGUAGAGAUAGAAAGUUCAAGAGAAGAGGAAAAUGGUUAGAAGGGAGAAAAGCUUGAAGACUCAAGAGGUGAUAGAGAUUCUAGGACCUAAAUUGAAGCUUUUGCUAGGAUUUUUGCUAAUUGAGGUAAGGGGGUUAGAUUUCAAUCAUAAUAACUUAGUUGUAGCUUUUACCCUAAUUUCAUGUAUAAAUGCUUAUUUGUAUAAAGUGAUUAUUAUGAAAUUAAUUGAUGAAAUUCGUGGUUAUGCUUUGAUGUGAUGUUUGGGUAUGUGAAAUUGAUGUUAAUUAAGUUGUUGAUGAAGAAUUUACAUGCUCAAGUUAUGUAUAUAUGUAUACUUGUGUUUUUGCUCAAAAUUGAUGAAGUAUAAUGUUAUUGUUGGUGAAUUGUUGAUGAAUUCACUUCUGAUUGUUGUUGUUGUGAUUGUGAGUAGUUGUUGUUGAUGAUUGAAACCUUGGGUAAUCUUAACCAUAGAGCUUGAAGUGAGUUUCUAUUGUUCUUGAAGUUUUCAUGAAAAAUAGGUCAAAUGGUAAUUUUGUUGAAAUUAUGUUGGAUUCAAGUUUUUAUAUGGAUUUGAGUGUCUUUUCAUGUUUAGACAAACUUUGGGAUCAAAUUUGGGUAUUGGGUCAAAAUUGGGAUUUUGGGGUGAAAAAUGAGUUUUUUUUUGUAGUAGAACUCCAGAAGCCUGUCACAACUCGCCAUGGCGAGCGGGAGGCGAGCAGGAGGUGCUUCCUGUGUGUUAACUCCCCAUGGCGAGUGAUUCACUCACAGGGCGAGCUGCACAGUGACAUCAUUCCCUGUUUCGCAAUCUUGCGUCUUUUUCACAUAUUUUUGUUUUGAAUUGGUCUUUGGUAUAAAUAUGAAAGUUUUAGAUAAUUGUGUUAGCUUUCCAGUGGCGUUGGUUUGACUUGAAAAUGAUUUUUGGUUUUUGAGUUAUGAUGAAAAUACUCCAAGGAGGUCUUAGUGAAAUUUUAUGAAAAUUCCGCAUAACUAUUUCUAAGUCAACCCAAAACUUAUGGAUUGUUUCCAAACUUCAAAACUUGUGUACUAUGAGUUAAAUUAAUGUGUUUAAGAGUAUUUAAGCUACGUUGUGGUGAAUUUAACUUGGUUUUGUUUUGAAAGUGAAUUGGUUUUACAUUAUGAGUAAAGCGAUACGAACUUUGCAAAACUUUGAAUUUAAGUGAGUUGGCCUAUGGGACCUUGAUGUAUACACUAUUGCACUCAUAUGUGAUUGGUGUAUAUACUUAGUUGAGGUUUCCAAAUGUGUUUACCUUGUUUUGUCGGAUAACUUGAAAAUUGGUAAAAUGAUACGAACUUGUCGUAACCUGUGAUUUUGAUGAUUUUGUCGUAGUAGGCCGGUGAAACGCACAUGUAUAUUCAACUACACUCAUAUGUGAUCUAAGUGUAUACAUAGUCGAGGCCCUAGAGUUUAUUUACUUGGUGUUAGUUCAUUUGUCUCAAUUAUUUUAAAGUUGUAAAAUGAGAGUUGAACUUUGUCAAAAAUGGUUCUUUAAAGCCAAUUACCUUAUAAAUCUUUUGUAGAUAACUUUAUAUGACUAAAUGAAGAUAUGUGAAUGAAUUUUUAAUUGUUGAAUAUGAUAUUAUCAUAAGGUGUUGCAUUUUCUCUUUACUUGGAAUAUGAUAAGUAUUUGGAAUGGUGGAACUAUACUAUAUGGUUGAUGUUGAUUAAUAUUUAUAUAUCAAUUGAUGUUGAUGAUUACUGAUAAUUAUGAUGAAAAUGUGAUGAUGACUCUUAAUUGGAUUAUGACUUUAUUGUUGUGUGGACGUAAAUAUUUGAUAAUGCAAUUGUUGUUGAUGUUAUCCUUUAUAUUGUUGUUGAAUAUUUAUGAGGUGAUUUUGCAUUGUCAAGUCUUUCCUUGUAUGUCCAUGCAUCAUAGUCAUGUUGAGUCUUGAUGUUGUAAAGGAGGGUUACUCUUUUACUUUGGUGAUAAUGUAAGACGGGUGUGAAAUUUUACAUAUGAUGUUUUUGUUGCAUCAUGUGUGACGACCUUGAGGUGAUUUGGUACCACAUGCAUAUAUGUGUCGGGAUUAGGCACAUAUCAUAUUGGCGUGAGUCUUAAUUGAUGUAUUUGAAUGAUGAUUGAUGAUGAUAAGUGUGUUUGAUGAAUACAUACUUGUGAUAUUUAGAAUUGUUGCAUGAAUGUGUAUAUGGAAGUUAAUUGCUCAUGAUUAAUUAAUUGAUACUUGAUUUGAUUCAUUUAUGUCUAACUAUUUAUGUGGAUUAUGAUUGUUGUAAAGCUUACCCCUAGUGGUUUUGACCACCUACCUGUCUAUAUGGAUGGGUAGACGAAGUGCAAGAUUAGUCGCUUUGGUGAGUUGCUUGGUGAUUGCUUAGAUAGAGGGAGUUAUCUCCGUUAUCGUUUCCUUAGAGUCUUAGGAUAGGCUCUGAUCUAGGAUGUAUGUCUUAUGAUUAUUCUAGAUUGUUUAUUUUGGAUUUAUUUGUGUUGUGGAGAUUUACCCAAUUGUCGGAAUUUGAAGAAUUUUUAUGUUGAUGUAUUUUGACCUCAUGGCAUGUAUACUUUUGAAGUGUAUGGUUUAUAUCCGCUGCAACGGUAUAGAAUUUUUAUAUAUGCUUGUUAUUUGAACAUUGUUGAUGAUGUGGCGUCUAUUUCUUGGAUAUUUAUAUUAUUCGCGUGUUUUAUUGCUUUAAUAGAAAUAGGGCGCUACAAAAAACAUGCUAAAAAUAACGUAAGAUGUCCUGUCAUCAUACAACGAUUGAGAAAAAGAUAAAGAUUGUCUAAUACCCAAGACUUCUUACAUAACUAUUUCAUCAAAGCAGAAUAGUUCAAAAACUGGAAGGUGUGGGUUUUCAUGACCUAGGAAUACAGGUAGCUCAAGUGAUGACAACAUAAUUUAUGGGAAAUAUGAGAAUCAUCAAGUCUGUGGUAAUGUCAAAUGGAUUCUCAAUCAGAAAAGAAUGCAGAACCUUUAUCCCAGACUUUCCCUCGAUCAUCCAAGAACCAAAUACCAAAGAUCUAGCAGACCUAGUGUCACAAGCUUCUGAAGAUCUAAUCUGACAUGGACCAUGCUCCUAGGGCAUGGACCAUGCACCUAGGGUAGGGUGCGUUUCACAGUCACAUGCGCCUAGGGCAUGGAGUGUGCUCCCUGAGAACUAAAAAAGUGUGGGGCAAAAUUGAUUUUUUUUCGACUUUUGUGUUGUUAUUUUAUGUUGUGAUUUUCUCAGAUUGGAGUGGAGGUAGGAUGUGAGAGUUCAACAGAUCACCAUUUGUAUGACUGAACAGACUAUUCAGAAAAUCUGAAUCAGUGUUUUGAUAAAUGGUUUAGCUAGAGGGUAAUGAUAUAGGUGGCGAAGGAAUAAUGAUGGAUGGUACUGAAGAAAUGUUAACAUAUUAUGUAAGCUCAAGAUCAAUACCUUUUGUAUUAUGAGAUUCUUCUGCUUUGCCUGGUGAGGUUGGCUCAACGGUAGCUGUUGUGAGGUUGGCUCAACGGUAGCUGCUUCUGUGACUAGCAUGCUGACUUCUUCUGCUUGCUUCUGUUGCUUCUCUUGGUUCUCACACUCAUCUACAUCGAUGAAUAUUAGAUGACACAAAUCUUCCUUAGCAUGUACAUUCUUCUUCCUUUCUGGUGAGGGAAUGAGUGAGUGAAUAGUACCAGAGUUCCUUGUGAGCUUGGAAAAAUCCGUUUUGUAGACAGAUCACAAAGUCACAUACUCUUAAUUUGUCUCUGAGUCGGUUUUGGAUUGCCUCGUCUUUUUGGGUGCUUGAGAAACUUUCUCAUCACCUUUCCUCUUAACCUCGACUUUCUUUAACUUCUUUGUUGGAGGAGAUGUUGUGACUUUGGAUGAUUUCCUCUUAUUCUUCUUGUUGUCUGCAGUUUCUGAGUCACCAGGAGUUUAAUCCGGAAAGAACUAAUCCGCAACUAAUUACUAAUAUUUUUCAUUGAAAAAAAAUAAUUUUAAAUAAGACUGGUACCUUGGUCUGUUGUAAAUUUGUAAGAACUAAUUUGACAGACAAUGAUAUAACUCAAAGACUAAUUUAUUUGUAAGUGCAAUAAUUUUGUUACUAAUUUUUGACCGUAAAUAACACACAAGUUAGCAGAAGGACCAAGUUGUUCAAUAUAAUUCAAAAUGUGAUUGUUUUUGCCAUGGCAUCCCCCAGUUUUUCUAUAAUUACACAAGAUUCCCUUUGUCUCGAUGGUUAGGAAGUACAAUUUUCUUUUGGAUGUCUCGUGUCUGAGUCCUAAUUCCCCUCAUUUUUAUAUUUCUAUUAUAUUAUAUUUUAAAUUUUAUUAAAAAAAUGUUCUUGAGGGGGAAUCGAACACGCACCACUACACUGAAUUCUAGCAAAAAACUGACCCCUAGACCGGUUACUGAUCUGAAGAAUAUUAUGAAACAACUAAACAUAUAUUCCAUAAAUUUUGGCACCCCCAAGAUAAAAACUCAAGAUCCGCCAUUGCCUAACUCAAGGUCCUAAAUACGCCACUACCAUUAACUAUAAUUAAUAAGAGUGUUUUAGAAAAUGAAACAUAUUUUGAACAUAUUUCUUAUCAUUUCUUUAACAAUUAUGUAAAACUCAAAAGGAACCCUUAAUUUGAGACAGAGGAUAUAUAAUAAUCGAUGAAGUUUAAUAUCUGCAAAAAAGUGUUAUUAAGUGAAGUAAACUUAACAAGGGUGACACUUGUUUUCUUUUGGUAAGGUGUGGGAGCACUCUUGACUGAGUUUCUAUUUUUUUUUUUUAUAUUCUUUUGAAAGUUGUAGUGGUGUAAUUGGGUGGUUAGUUGAAGUAAUUUUCGUUUUGGUUCUUGCUUGAUCUAUUUUGCAUUGUGAAAUUUCAAUUCUUAGUUUGCUUUCUACAUUGACGGAGUUGCUAAGUUGCAAUCAAACUUUUGAGUGUGUAUUAAUUAUAACAGUAAGAGUGUUGCUAGCACUACUCUUAUAUAAAAUCAGAUGUAUUUUUAAAUUUAUUUAUUUAUUUUUUUUUUUUUAAUUUCUACGAAAGUGGUGCACUUUUCCAUGAAUAUGCUUUUAGUGCAACUCCUUACCAAUGUAGUCAAACAAUUUCUUAAAACUCAUUGUUAUUAGUCAUUUCGAAACAAUGUAUUCACCAAGACAAAGGAGUGGGUGGAAGGAUAAUGGGUGCAUGCACAAUCAAGAAAAAGUUAGGUGAACAUUACAAUCAAAAUAUAUAGCAUAGAGCAUCAAAAUUUAUCGUAUGAAACAAUGUUUUUCUAAAAUAUGAAUGUGAACAAAUAACCCUUCAACUCAUAAGAUGAUCUUUAAUAUAUAGAAUUAGAAAGUUAGAGUAUCAGUACACCGAAAUUUAUAUAUUCAAAAGUGAGGCGUAGUUGGUUUUCCUCUUUAUGUAGUAUAGUUCGGUUUUUCCAUUUUAUUAUGGUACUUAUUCCUAUCAAAUUGAUAAAUCAGCUUUAUCUUAUAAUUGAUUUAACUAAUGAUGACUUGAACAUCAAUAUUAUAUAUUCGGAUAUACGAGUACUUCAUCGUGCUCUUAAUUUAGAGAUGUUUUGAGUUUGUUUACAAAUUGAAUCUUUGAAUUUUAGACAUAGAACUUGUACUCUUUUAGAUAUAAUAUACCGAUUUGAAUGGAUAAAUACCGUAAUUCCAAACAUAUAUUUUUUUUUCACACACAUACCUCAUCCAUUACGAAACGCAGGAACUAAAGCUAUAUAAUAUAGUGAAGCUAAUUUAAUAAAAAAUAUAUAUAUUUGGUGAUGCUAAACUCAGUCUAACUUAAUGCCAGUUCAAAAGGAACACUGUGGUAUGGAGGAAUUCUUUGUUUUGCAUUUAUAAAUGGCAACUAUACCCUAUUAAUCAUCAUCAUAAAAAUAAUUUUUAUAAUGUAUGAGACCAAGUUUCACGUCUCUAUUAUUUUUCAUCAUUUUUUAGAAUUGUACGAUCUUGUACCAGAUCUUCGUUUAGUUAUGAUGAUAGCAACCACUCUCACUGAAAAAUUAUAUAAUAACAUUUUUUUGGCAUAUUUAAUUACUGAUCCUGUCGGUGUAUUAUUGUAAAAUUAGGCAAUUUGUCCAAUCAAUUCACACAUAAUUUCAAACCUGGCAACUAUAUAAAAACAAAAUCAUAGGUAAAUAAUGUAGAAAAUCACCAACAACCCUUGAAUUUUGUUACAAGAAAGGGCCAAGUCAUCACCUUAUCAAGAUUGUGAGUGGAUUCACAAAGAUCACGACUAGUAUAAAAGGAGGAAGUCACUCUUGUGUUUUCUGCACCAAACUCAUAAGUCACUAACAUGGCUUCCUCAAACUUCCUAGUGCUGCUUCUUUUUGCUCUAUUUGCCAUUCCUCAGGGUCUUGCCAAUUAUGAGAAGCCUCCGGUUUACCAACCACCGGUGUAUAAGCCACCAGUUGAGAAACCCCCGGUCUACAAACCCCCUGUAGAAAAGCCACCAGUAUAUAAGCCACCAGUAGAGAAGCCUCCAGUUUACAAACCACCGGUGUACAAGCCACCUGUGUACAAACCCCCAGUAGUGAAACCCCCAGUCUACAAACCUCCUGUUUACAAGCCACCGGUGUACAAGCCACCAGUUUACAAACCACCAGUAGAGAAGCCCCCAGUUUACAAGCCACCUGUAUACAAACCCCCAGUAGUGAAACCCCCAGUCUACAAACCUCCUGUUUACAAGCCACCAGUUGAGAAGCCUCCAGUUUACAAGCCACCAGUAGUGAAGCCACCUGUUUACAAGCCCCCAGUCUACAAGCCACCAGUAGUGAAGCCACCUGUAUACAAGCCUCCAGUCUACAAGCCACCCGUUUACAAGCCUCCAGUUGAGAAGCCUCCGGUCUACAAGCCACCUGUUUACAAGCCCCCAGUUGAGAAACCUCCAGUCUACAAGCCACCGGUUUACAAGCCUCCAGUCGAGAAGCCACCAGUUUACGGACCUCCUCACCACCCAUAGGACUCUCGGAUGCUUUUAAGUAAAUAAGUUAAAUAAGAGAUAUAUAAUGUUUCCAAAGCAAGGAUUAUAUAUUCUUGGAAUCUUCAUUUUAGUCUUUUGUUUACAAAUCCUAUUACCAAGAUAAGAAUGUGAAAGAAAAUGGUGCAUUUGUACUCCAAGUUAUGAAUAAGAACGUUGUGAUUUAGCACUUUUUAAUUUGUGUUGGUUGACUAAAUUGGACAUAGUAUAUAUAUACUCUACUUAAUACUCUGUCAUAUCAGUAAGGUGCAUGAAAGUUCAAUUUUCUGUAGUAGACAUAACGAAUAAUUAAUUUAUGUUUGAAUCUAGAAUUUACUAAACUUCACGUACUUGGAAUUUCAUUGCAUUAUAGCUUGACUCAGUAGUAGCUUUAGUGAAAAAUGAUUUUGGUGCUUAAAAUUUUAAGAGUUGGAGUUUGGACAAAUUAUACACUCAUAUAAUUUAGUUAUCUUUUCAAAUUUACAAUUACAAUUUUCAAGGUUCUAUAUUUGUGUUGAUGCACCAAUUAAGAGAAUGAUCAAGAAAAUUAGGUUUUUAAUUGGUUUUUAUCGAUGAUUUCUGAAGAUAUAUUUCGGCAGAUGAACUAAUCCUUCAAUUUAAGAGAUUAAAUUGCCAUUUUACAAAUUUCAAUGAUUAUAUUAUUACCUAAUCUUAAAUAUAAUUUUUAGGGCUAAAACGAUGAUUCACUCAAUAUAUAUUGUGAUUUCUUAUUUUUUUUAUGAUAUAAAGAUAGCUGAAGUUGUGUGAUAUACAAAGUUAUAUUUCCUUUGGAAGAUAAGAGUCCCCCACCAUAUUGACAUGAAAGUGAACGUGGGAAAAUAUGUGCAAUUAAGGUUCCAAAUAUUAAACAAUAGCCACAAUAAUUGUCUAUAACUCAUAACAAAUAUAAGAACUUGAUAAGAAAAAUAAUAAAUAUAAGAACAUGAGCAGGCCAUAGUUUUUUAGCCCGAGAAGCUUCAUCUUCUUUUUAAGUCUAACAUUUUUUAAUCUUCAUUCAAAGAAGAUUGGUGAUUUUGGGAUAUUUUUAUAAGAUAGGUAAAUAAUGAAAUUUGUGUUGUACUCGAAGAAAUCUACCACACGAUUUGAAUGAAUAUAUUACUUUUAGUCAAAAUAAAUUAAAAUAAAGAAUGUAACAUUUCAAACUCACUCACAUAUAAAGAAUGAAUUUACAAUCUUUAAAACACAAAUAUUUAAUCCUUAAAUCUAACACCUCUCUUAGUUUUAGCGAAAUGAACUUUGUGUUGUACUCGAAGAAAUCUACCACACAAUUUGAAUGAAUAUAUUACUUUUAGUCAAAAUAAAUUAAAAUAAAGAAUGUAAAAUUUCAAACUCACAUAAAAAGAAUGAAUUUACAAUCUUUAAAACACAAAUAUUUAAUCCUUAAAACUAACACCUCUCUUACAUUUAUUUUGUUUACGUACCUUUAUUUUGUUUUCAAAUACUUAUAUUUAGUUGAAUUCCUUCAUUAUACUCUUUUUAAUGAAUUUUCUGAACAAAAUAAAAUUGUGUUACUCAGUCACUCAAAUUAGAGUGGAUAGAGCAAUGAAAAUAUUUAUUACUAUGUAGUUUAUAGUUGGAGUGAUCGGAUAGUCUAGUGGGAUCUUAGCCACUCUCGUUUGACUCACUUGGAGCAUGUCAAAAAUAUUUUUUUGAAAAUGAACGAUGGAGAUUUACUUUGCACUAGGUCCAGUGAAAAAGAUAUGGGAGAUAAUCCCAAUCUUAGCUUAUUGGGUAGGCCAGUGUUGAGAAUGGAUUCUCUCAAAUGUAAUUAUCUCACUAGUCUAAUUACCAACACAAUCAAAGAGAAAAAAUAGUGGGAUGUAAGUAAAAAAUCCAUAUUCUACUUACUCAAUCAUCUAUACAAGCUACUUUAAUUAUCUAGUCGAACGUUACGAGCGUUACAAGAGAAAUCAGAAUAUCGAUGAUCAAAAUCCUUCAAAGCAAAAGAUGUUGUUGUGUGCAAGUGUGAGUUAUAUGCCCCACAUCGGAUAAAAGAGUAAAGGUUGAACACCUUAUAAGUAAGAGGACCAUAAACCCAAAGCCUUAAGGUUUUGGGUAAGAGUGUGGUGUCUCCCUUGCUUGUCUGGUUGUUCUAGCCUCGAUGUGGACGCUCCCCCAAGCUCCCCUCGCUGACCCAACAGUGGUAUCAGAACCCCGGUUCGAUGAAGGGUACGACUGAGGCCGCCUGUCAGUUGUGCAGAAAGCAGCAACGACGGUACAAGCAACAAGUGGCUUCUUGUGCAGCAACGGCUAUACAUGCAAAGUAAAAAGCUUCCACGCGGUACAAGCAACAAGUGGCUUCUUGUGCAGCAAUGGCUAUACAUGCAAAGUAAAAAGCUUCCACUCUAGGGGAGCGACUCACGCUUGAGGGGGAGUGCUGUUGUGUGCAAGUGUCUGUUAUAUGUCUCAAAUCGGAUAAAAGAGUAAAGGUUGAACAUCUUAUAAGUUAGAGGACCCAUAAACCCAUAGCCUUAAUACUGUCCUUUUUGCAUAUUUAGCCCCCCCGAAACCAAUUUUAACCAAUUCAACGAUGACGUGGAUGUCACGUGUGUAAUGCUUUAAUUAUUUUAGUUUUAGAUAGAUACAGAGAGAGAGGUGUCAUAUGUCAAAAAAAAAAAAAGAUAGAAAAGAUUUCCUUCCUUGAAUCGUUGAGGUAACUACAAACUAAGACAAUGAUGUUAUUGGUUACUUGUUUCUAAUACCUUUGAAAAAGAUAGUUAGACCAAUGUAUUGGUCAUUAACUCUUUUCAAUGGUUACUACCCUAGUGUCUAAGGUGAGUCAUAACAACGUCAAAGUAAGUACAAUUAUUAUUAAUUUAUGUCUACACCUAAUCAAUAAUUGAAGGUUAAGAUAGGUCAAGCCAACAAAGUUAAGGUUAAGAUAAUCAUUUUCACCUAAAUUGAUUUAUGAACAUAUGUUAAUGAUGACAGUCCGUCAUAUCACAUUUUUAGAGUCUUUUCAAUUAAGUUUUUAUUCUAAUUUUAUUAAUUUAGUACUUAAUUUAGAGUCAUUUUAAAUAAAUUGUCAUUUUCUUAUUAUUGAGUCAACUAGUGUAUUAUUACUAUUAUUAUUGGUCAAUUAGUGGCUAGUAAAGAGAAUGAAACAAAAACAUGGUUUUGUGAUGGAUGUGAUUGGCCAAGAAAAAUGAUAACAAGUUGAACGAAAGAAAAGAAGACCACACAAUGUUGCAUUAGGGUGCAGGAAUCAAAACCAAUAUAAUUGGGCUUUCUUUCAUGGACGUUGAACCAAGAAAAAGAAAAGAAAAGAUAACUUGCUGCAUAAUGUUAAUUUGGAAAGAAAAAUAGGUUUGACAAGCUAUAAAAGGAGACCACGCACAGGAACAAAGCAGACGAUUGGGAAAGAAAGAGCAGCACGCGGUACGAGACAAAAGGAGGAGGAGAAAAGCUCAUGGAAUUUGGAAUAUGCAACAGUACUGAUUAAAUAGAACAAAGCCGGUAGACCAUAAUUCGAUCGGUUUAUUUCUUUUAGUAUGUUGUUUAUUCCUUUAAUAUGUCUAGUUAAUUCCAUUUGAUUGAGUCACGAUGAACCUAUUGUAAUAUAUGAAUCAGUAGUUAAAACUCUUUUUAUUAUCAAUAUUAUUCAGUCUUUAUUCAGAAUUAUCUGUGUUCAUUGCCUUUCAUAUGAUUGUUUGCAUUGUUUGCAUUGUUUGCAUGACUAUUAACCCUAACUUCUUACAAUCACAUAAAUUGAUCUUAGGAAUUGAAUGACUACUAACCCUAACUUUUAAUCCUGAAAUAAUAAUUCUGUUUAAUUCAACAUAGGAACCUAGAGAUAGGAAAUUGAGGAUUAUGACAUAUAACGUUCUAACAUCGCUUCCGCGGUUAUUCAACCAGUUUAAAAGAUUAAAAGGUUAUAACUUAGGAAAUGGUUUUGAGUCAAGAGAUUGAUCAAAACUAAUUAGUUAAUUUGUCGUAAAGAUUGAAUAAGUGUUGAGAGCAAAGAGAGAUAAACUAUUUCACAUAAAACAAUAGAGGAUUUACCGGCUGAUCAUCUGUUUUAAUCCAAUUAUCAAACCAUUUUAUUUUAUGUUAUUUACUUUUUAUUGCACACAAACGUACUGCCUCAUACACUUAUAAAAUUUACACAUCCUAGAUAUUAACUUUAUUGCUAGUUUGAGAUUAACACAGUCCUCGUGGAUACGAACUUAUUUUAUUACUUCGAUAGUUUUAGUACACUUGCUAAAAUAUUUAUGAGUUAACCAAUAAAGAGUAUCAAGAACAACUUUAACCGAAUAAAAUAGAAAAGUAAUUAAAUGAAAUUUAUAGAAUUAUUCAAAGUUACAUAAUCAAACAAUUACGAGGAAGUUCUUAUUUCAUGACCUAACAUAUAUAGUAUUAGCUACUCAUAGAUUUUCUAAACAUAUAUAAAUAGAUAUGAAGAAGAAAGCAUGAGAAAAGGAUCAGCAAGUGAGGAUUAAUUGGCUCCCUAAUGGCCGUGGUCACUCCAAUCCUUCCAAAAUUGUGUUUCUGCCUUCGUCUUCUCGCUAAAAAGUAUUUUCCACUAACUUAGGUUUCAAUAUUUAUAGGUGUGCAUUUCCUUAAGUUUUUGGGAAAUUGGCACACGAUGCGAUCCUAUUCCUCAUGAUGCGAGGAUAACAUAACUAAUCUUGUUGGCCUCACGUUUAUUGUCCCGAUGCAAAGCUCAUGAAGAUUGAUACGAUUCAAGGAAAUGUGAUUUGAUUUAACCAAGCAAAAACCAAGAUCAUAGGAUAACAAUGAUACGAUUCAAAGAAGUGUUAACUUGAUUCACAGUAAUACAAUUCAAAGAAUCAUGAAUCGUUUAAAAAUUUAUGGAAAAUUAGCAGAAACUUUUCAUGAUAAGAUUCAAAAAAGUUUGAAUUGAAUCAAUUGGUUAGAAAAACAUUUUGACCAAGAAAAAUGAAGUUUUCUUUAUACAAACAAAACACAAGACAACAAGGGAUCAUAUGAUUUAUGAGGCAAGAUUUCUAGGUAUGCUUUAACAUGAUAUUAGUCAAUAACAACUAAUAUCUAAACAUCAUCAAAUAAAAACUACCUAAUGAACAUCAUAAAAACACAAACCUAUAACUACACAACUUCAUCCAACUUAUUGGGUGUACCGCAUUAACUAGAUAAUGGUCAUAUCUAUACUAUAUAUAAAGAAAAUAACAUGUUUUUCAAGGUGAGAAAAACACGAGAGGGGGGGGGGGGGGGGGUUGAAUUGUGGUUUCUUUCUCUUCUCCUAAAACCGAAUUCACUAUUCAGAACUUGAUAGAGUUCAGCUUCUGAAGUAGUGUUCAGAGUCUAGUUGCAGCGGAUAAGAAAAGAGAGAGAGAGAGAGAGGCAAGACACAAAGCAACUAUACAGAUUCCUUCCACAAACCGGAACUAGUCAUGUCCCCCUUGCACCUCCAAGAAGAGUUCACUAAAAUCAAUAUUCGAUUACAAUUGCUCAGGGCUCAAAAUAGCAAGAGACUUCAAACUACUCAAGAACAACUACAAGAGAUUUCCUAUGCUCAAGAACAAAAUCAAGAGACUUCCUAUGCUCAAGCACAACUGCAAGAGACUUCAUACAAAUCAGAUAAGACUCUUAAGAUUCUAGAAUUUCUAAAAUAUGAAAGUUGAUAAGAAAUUCUAAGUGAACUUUGAUGUGAAACAUUUUUAGCAGAGUUUUGGCACUUGUAAAAUUGUUGUAAGUCUCUUAGAAAUCUUCAAGUCUUCACUCCUUUAUAUAGAGGUGUGAAAGAGACGUUGUUGAUUUCCAACACAUUAAAAGAGUCGUUAUUGAAGCUUGAUCAAAUUUCAAUUCCAUUCCAAGUAUAGAGGAAUACCAGCGUAGUCACAAUUGUUGUUCUUGUACUAUUGCAGACAGAAAACAGAGUAGUGGAGAAGGUGGUUGUACAAUUGUACUAUUGUCCUUUUCCAAUGUUCUUCAAGGGAUAAGCAUCCAAUGACUUCAAAUUCCUCUUAAUUAGUUGUUGCUCUAGACUUCUAUUCCUUCUGCAAUGAUAGGCAUGAUAAUAACAACUCUUGACAAAUAUUGAAGCUUCCAGUCUUUCAGCUUAUGAUCUUAAACUUCUAACGACGUCAGCUUCUGGUAGUCUCCAGCUUAUGAUAAAAGUGCUUCUGAUGAUGUCAUCUUCAGAACCUCUUUGUCUUCAAAACCUCUUUUCCUUCAGAUGGUUCCUUGCAACUCAAGCUUCCUUUUUUUAAAUUCCAUUGCUCUCAUUUGUUCUUCUAGAACCCAUGCUUCAUUUAAAGACACUCAAAUUUUUGUAUAUGGUCCUGCACACUUGAACAAAUAUUAUCAUAUCCAAUUGAAUUUUUUUAAUACCUUGUUAUCAUCAAAACUUAAAGGGUAAUGUUAAACACAUUUUGUUCCAACAUUUUUGACUCUUUUAGAAUGACUUUUUCUCUUUCCAAAAUUACCAUCAACUUUCAAUACAAAUAACACAUACAACAAGAAUUGUGUUAUUUGAACAUCCAUAUAUGCGACAACUUUUGUGACAACCAAAAUUUUACAAAGAAAAUGAAGUAGUGGCACAAAAACCAAAGCAAUAGAGAGAGAAAGUAAAAAGAUAAUGUGAGUAUGAGAGAGAAAGUUGUCACAAAAGUUGUAAAAAAUAGUUGUUCAAAUAUCAUUUCUCCAUACAACAAAUAGAUGAGAGUAAAUUCAAACAUUAAAAUAAAAUUGUAAUACACACGAUAUGAGUAUAUAUGUCCAGUUUUUUCCUUUAUCAUUUAAAAAAUGUAACAAACAAGAUGAGAAUAUCAGAGAGAUGAGAGAUAGUGACGUGAGACAAGAAAGACCUCUCCGUGGCCCGCCUUUGCUUGAACGGUGGUAACCGCACCAGAAUUUAUCUCCAUUUGAGAGAUACACUAGGGGGUAGGUAUGCAGCCUGGGUGGUAGAAAAUGGGGGGGGGGGGGGGGGGGGUAUGGGUGAUUGGUCUGUAGUUAGGUCACGAAAGAGGAAAGCGACGCAAUCGGAAGAUCGAGGAAGGGACAAGUCAAGGGUUUCAGAGCGACGCGGAGGCACGGUAAGGGUUAGAGGGAUCGCACAUAAUGAUUACGGGUUUGAUGGCAGAGAGGCGCGACAAUCAGCAAGGGCUCUUCAUGAUCAGCAAGGUUUGGGUCGUUAUCAGUUUGGAAACAACGAUUUGGCUUUCGACAGAUGCGGGUCUGAUGCUAUCAUGGGAAAAGGCUUCUUCGACGACAAACAUAACAAUGGUAGUAAAAUUACUUUCUAUUUUGCAAACAUUCCUGAUUAUAUGCCGUUGUUUCGUCUCCGUCAAUACUUUGAAGUGUGUGGUAUUUUGUCUGAUGUCUAUGUUGCCAGACAACUAAAUUCACGUGGUCAGGUCUAUGGCUUCGUUAGAUUUUUGAAUGUGAGGAACAAGGACAAAUUAGCACAAGAUUUGAAUAAUGUAUGGAUUGGUGACUUUAAGGUCUGGGCGCGUGAAGCAAAAUUUGAUAGGUUUGCACAAUAUGAUGAUGAUCAUAGGGUGUCUAUGCAUGGUGAUAGAAGGGAUGAGAAUGGAGGGGAGAGGAGGCCGGUGGUGAGAACUAAUGGUGAUGGAGUAAAAAAUAUGAGGAUGUGUAAUUUUAAAAAAAUAGGAGGGAUAAUAAAAAUAGUUGUUGGUCUCAUUUUAAAAAAAAAUAAAAAAAUUGUUUAUAUAUUUUUGUUAUAUUAUCGGUGUCAAUGAAAUGGAUAAUCAUGGUUAAUUUGAUUUGUUAUAAUUUGAAAGCAACACACAUUUAUAUCUUUAAUUUUAAUCAAAAUCAAAAUGUUAUAAAAAAUACUAUUGCUAAUUUUCAAAUGUUAACACAAUAAAAAGAGCAGAAAGACGGAGUGCCCGUCUUUUCACUAGUUAUAAUAAAAGAAAUUUUAUUUGAUGUAUUGAUAAUGAUACUGAAACUUUUUACACAUACAUCCAAACAUUAUUCAUGACAUCACUUUUAUACAAGUUCUAAAAUAUCGCUGUAACAAAAAGGUUAAAAAACAACUCAUGAAAUAUGUACAUGAUUUAAUUGAAUAUAUGUGUAAAAGAAAUUAUAUAUCAACAUCUAUAAAUUAAAUUUAUUAUUGAAAUGAAAUACUAGUAAAAAUGAUGGCCAGCAUUUAUGAAAAUAAAGGUCUAACUGAUCAUGGGCCAAUUUAAAUCAAAAGUAGAUUUGUGCCCUCUAAAGGGUACUAGAAUAUAAAAGAUGGACGGCAAACAAGGGACACAAAGAAUAGAGAUGCUCAAUUUAAAACACAACUUCGAUUUUUUUUUUAUUUACUAAAAAAUAACUUAGAUUGUUUAGAGAAGAUAGGAAUUCAAUUAGUCUGACAACAUAUUUUGGAAGUACAAUUAGUUUCACAAUUAACUAUUUUGAUAAUCCUCCUUAUUAAAAAAAAAUUAAUAUUCCAUUUCGUCAAAUAAAACAAAAAGUUAGGGAGUGAUGAGAGAUCUUAGUCAAUAUUGUUUUGCACCAUAAUAUUUUUGAGAGAUUGAUUUGGCAUUUACAUGCUUCCAACAAAUACAAUGUAACAAGUGCUUAUAAUUAUAUGAUAUCGUCUCUUAAUAUUGUGACAGCUGAUCACUUAAACACAAUUUGGAACAACGAGGUCCCUCUGAAAGUUAGUCAUUUUACAUGGAGUUUGCUCUGUAGCCGAUUACCAACAACAAAUAAUUUUAUCAGAAGGCACAUUCUUAAUCAUAAUGUUCAACUUUGUGUAGGCUUUUGUGGUAUAAUGUAAGAUAUAGACGAUCUAUUUCUCUCUUGUGAUUUUUUUGAAAUUUUUUAGAUUGGUAUCUAUAAUUGGCUCGGCUUUACUAUGGUACAUCCAGAACAUCCGAAUAACUUUUCAACUCAUAUGGUUAACUUGUGUUUGGGUGAUUUGAUGGGAAAGAAAUGCUUGAAGUUUUCGCAAUCAAGAAGAAUCGUUACAACAUCUUCUUGACAAAAUUAAGCUUCAAUCCUAUUAGUGGUUGAAAGCGAAUAGAAUUUUCGCUCAAUUUUAAUAAAGUGGAUACUAUAUGAGAUUUUCGCUCAAUUUUUUAUGAGUAUGGACUGCACUUGGCGUUAGUCAUUGAACUCAUUUUACGAGACUCAAGUUCCAACUUAAGCCAAAAACUGAAACCAAACAAAUGAAGUAAAAAACUCAAGUUCCAAACUAAUGCGUGAUUUUAGUCAAAACAAUGUUUAUUUUUUGACAGUAGUUAGUUUUGGAUUACAGCUAUAUCCCUACACCCCACAAACUAUACCCCUCUCACCAAUAGACAAAACAAAAGAGUAGGUGGAAGGGUACAUAAUUAAGAAAAAGUUAUGUGAAAAACAAUAUUUUCUAUAGCCAAAACCAAAAGAUAUAUAUUGCAUUAUUGCAUAUAUACCAAUAAAAGAAGUACUGUGAAAUACAAGAUAAUGGCAUUAGAUUAGAAAUGGCCAAUUUGAUCUGUCUAUUUUUAAUCAUAUUAUUUAGAUUUGUUCAAUCUUUUACCAAAUCUUAUUUAGUUAUGCAAAAAGCAACACCUCUCGUUGAAAGAUAAUAAUAACGAUUUUUGGCAUAUGUUACUAAUAUUGAUUGAAAAAUGUUACCAAAUGAUGCAACUUCCCAACUCCAAUCCACUCAUAAUUUCAAACUUCGCUACCAUAUGAAAACAAAAUCACAGGUAGAAAUGUGUUGGAAAUCCUCAACAACUAUUGACUUUUGGUACAAAAGAGUGCCAAGUCAUUACUAAUUCAAGAUUGAGACAUGCAGCUGUGAGUGGAUUCACUAAGAUCACGACUAGUAUAAAAGGAGCUGGUCACACUUGUAUUUUAUGCACCAAAUUAUAAGUCACUAACAUGGCUUCCUCAAACUUUCUAAUGAUGCUCCUCUUUGCUCUCUUUGUCAUCCCUAAGGGGUUUGCCAACUACGAGAAACCUCCAGAGUAUCAUCCACCAGUUGAAAAUCCCCCAUUUUAUAAACCACCGGUAGAGAAACCACCUGUGUAUAAACCACCAAUAGAGCAACCUCCAAUUUAUAAGCCACCUGUAGAAAAUCCUCCAAUUUAUAAACCACCAGUAGAGAAACCACCCGUGUAUAAACCACCGUUUGAGAAACCUCCAAUCUACCAUCCACCAGUAGAGAUACCACCAGUGUACAACCCACCAGUUGAACAUCCUCCAAUUUACAAGCCUCCUGUAUACAAACCACCAGUAGAGCAACCUCCCGUCUAUAAGCCACCAGUAGAGAAGCCUCCAAUUUACAAGCCACCAGUAGAGAAACCUCCUGUUUACCAACCUCCUGUUUACAAGCCCCCAGUUGAGAAACCUCCAGUGUACAAGCCACCUGUAGAAAAGCCACCAGUGUACAAGCCACCUGUAGAAAAGCCACCAGUGUACAAGCCACCUGUAGAAAAGCCUCCUAUAUACAAACCACCAGUAGAGAAACCACCAGUGUACAAACCACCCGUUGAGAAACCCCCGGUUUAUAAGCCACCAGUAGAGAAACCACCUGUGUACAAGCCACCAGUUGAGAAGCCCCCAAUUUACAAGCCACCAGUAGAGAAACCACCUGUAUACAAGCCACCAGUUGAGAAGCCUCCAGCUUACAAGCCACCAGUUGAGAAGCCACCUGUAGAGAAACCACCAGUGUACAAGCCACCGGUUGAGAAGCCCCCAAUUUACAAACCACCAGUUGAGAAGCCUCCAGUGUACAAGCCACCGGUUGAGAAACCACCUGUCUACAAGCCACCUGUAGAAAAUCCACCUGUUUACAAGCCACCAUUUGAGAAACCUCCAAUUUAUAAACCGCCAAUAGAGUAUCCACCCGUGUACAAGCCCCCUUUUGAGAAACCCCCCAUCUACAAGCCACCUGUAGAGAAACCUCCUUUUUACAAGCCUCCGUUUGAGAAUCCACCAUUUUAUAUACCUCCAGUUGAGGAGCCUCCUGUUUACAAGCCUCCAUUCGAGAAGCCACCAAUUUACACUCCUCCAUUCUAGAGCCCACCUUACCACCCAAAGUUCCCUCGGGCAGGCGAUGGUACUCGUUAAUAGAACAUGCUAUGAAGAAAAUAUGUUAAAUAAGAGAUAUAUAGAGUUUUUUAUUUAAUCAAGGAAUAUAUAUAUUCAUGUAAUCUUCAUUUCAAUACUUUGUUUACAAUACUCUUGCUAUGAUAAGAAUAUGAGUGAAAAACAGAGAAAGAAAAUAGUGUGCUUUUCUAUUCGAAAUUAUGAAUAAGAUUUCUAUGAUUUAGAUGUUGUGUUGGUUGACUAAAUCGUGAUACAUCGACAGAGGCAGAGCCCCUCAUGCGCCAAGGUGGGUCAUGGCCCACCCCCAAAUUUUGUUUCUUAUUAUAUAUAUAUUAUGUUUUGUAAAUUUUUGAUGUUUUUGUAGCAUGUUGUAGUGGUUAAGAGCCUUUUUGCCAAGUCGUAUGUGCUAGGUUCAACUCUUGCCAAAACCAUUUUUAUUUAUUCUUUUAUUUUCUUUUGUAUAAAAAAAAAACAUAAUUCAUAAUUGUUAAAAUAAUCCUUUUUUUUGUUACUUAAUCCUUUCUUUCUUUAAUAAAACAUAACUCCUUUAUUCGAUUUAAAAUAAUCUUUCCUUUCCUUACUCUUAUUUUUGGAUACAAUUGUCUCUUUACUCUUUUAUUUUAAUUUUUUUUUUAUACAAAGGGGACUUCAACUCUUUUUUGUCAAAAAACAUUCUCUUUUAAAACAUAUAACAUAUUUUUUAUACUUAGUCGUUUGAUUCAAUUCGAUUUUAUACCUAUACAUCUGUUUAUUGAAGUCGAGUCAUUUAAUUCAGUCGUUAGGUUCAAUGGCCUAGUUGUUCGAUCAAUUAUCUUGAACUUUAUCAAGGUUGAUAAACAGUUCAUAUUUUAAAAUACCGGUUUAAAUUAUAUUCAACAAAUAACAAAUUUAUAGUCAUUGGAACCAACCAAUAAUAAAAUGUACUUGUAAGAAAAUAAAGCCUCAUCACUAUUUAUGGCCCACCCUAUACUUUUUUCCUAGCUCCGCCACUUUACAUCUUCGUAUUCUUUAGGAAGUUUCAACCUUGUUGACUAUGACAACAGUGACGACUAUAACGAGACUCGCUAUUGACUAUGACAACAGUGACGACUAUAACGAGACUCCCUACUUUUUGGUUUGCUUCAACAGGUUCUCAACAUAAAUAACUAACCAAGUUAAUUUGCCUGUGAAAUGUGAUAUUAGUAAGGUGCAUGAAGGUUAAGUUCUUUAGCAAAGCUUAGUAUCUUGAAUUAAAGAAUAUCGUUAAUUAAACUAAAUAUUCAUAUUAGGUAUCACAAUUUUCAAGACUUUAUAUGUACGUGUUGAUCCAUUAAUUAAGAGAAAUUAGACUUUAGACCCGUGCGUCGCACGGGUCAUUUCGACUAAUAUAUAAUAAUAAGUAAUGGUAAAAAAAAUUCUAAAAUAAAUAAAAGAUGAAGAGUAUUAUACAUUUUACUUACUCAAGUUCAAAAAAUAAAGUAGGAGAUGACAUGAAAUCGUUUAGUUGAAACAAACGAAUAUUAAAAAAUAAAAAUUAGACAACGACAGGGAUCUAAAAUUCUAUUUCUAAUCCUUCACAUAUCAAAAUUACAAUUGGUUCUCUUCAUUGUAAUCAUCUAAACUUAAUUAAAAAAUUUACAAGUGCAAAUAGAAUCGACAUUAUACAAGUCACUACUUGAUUCCAAAAACCUAUGUUUCAUGAAAACCACUCAUACCUAAAUAACAAUAAUAAACCUUCAAAACAAAAAUCAACUAUUCUCAAAGGACCCAAAAGAAAGAUUUUUAGCCUUCUAAAUCACAAUUUCUCUUGUUGUAUUGUUUUUGUGUCAAAAGCACCAUAAGUUGAAUAGUAGGCUCAGACACAUGACUUUCCUCAUAAGACAAAAUCACCAGUUUUUUAUAGGUUGAAAAAAUAAAUCAAAUAUCCUUAACUUUCAAUAACGCUUAGAAACAACUGAAACUUUUGCAUUAUCUCAAUCCACAAACAAAAUUGAAGACCUUUAUAUUUGCUUUAGGCACCUUAAGGAAUUCUAUGUAAAUUGUUUUCCUGCAAUGAAAUGCUAAACACAAUGAGCAAAGAAGAAGAAUUAACAACAAUAUUUGGAUUGUUUUAUUUAGCUUACAAUUCUUUAAACUAAUCAANAACACAAUGAGCAAAGAAGAAGAAUUAACAACAAUAUUUGGAUUGUUUUAUUUAGCUUACAAUUCUUUAAACUAAUCAACAAAAAAUUAAAUUUGCAUUAUAUCCUCCACAAUAUCAAGAAUUUUUCAAAGGGAUCAUUCUAUUUGUAUGGCUAUGAUGAGAACUCAUGUGUGUCCAUGAAGACCAGCUCUACGGAUAACCAUGUUCAUAUUAACUAUUUUAGGAGUGAAAAUAGGAUUGGAUUGGAUUUAGUAGUGAGCUGUUGUUUUUGAUUUCAGAAGCAUUUGAAAAUAACAUUUUGAUUAAAUGGAAAUAAUAGGAAGAAUUUGUUAAUAAAAGUGAUUUUUUUUUUUUUUUUUAUGUUGAUCUUUUUAUUGUUGUGUUAGAAACAAAAUAGGACGAAAUUGUAUUUUUUUUUUUAUGUUUAUCUUUUUAUUGUUGUGUUGGAAACAAAAUAGGAGGAAAUUGUUAUAGGAAUAGGAGGAACGAUUUUUAAAGUUUAUCUCUUAAUUAAACAGGUUUAAUUGAACACGGGGGUAAUAACGUAAAAGUCAUCAUAAAAUCUAGGUUAAAAUUAGGUUAAAAAUUGGCUUACGGGUUAACUUUUAUAUAUAAAGAAGUCAAGAGAAUCUAGAUCUGUGAAGCCCCGAUACUUCAAAAUGGAUGAUGUAUCGUAUCCGCUGCGUAUUCUGUAUCGAUACCUGCCCGAUACUUCUCAAAUUUAUGAGUUUUAUUUGAUUCUUCGAAUUCGAAUUUUGAGAAUUUUAGGGUUUGAAGGUUGGUGAUGGAGGUGAAUCUGAGUUUAUAUUAAGAAUUGAUGAAGAAUUUAAGGAGAGUGCAGUGAUGGAUAGGUAACUGAGUAUGAAUUGGUAUGCAGUUUGGAAAAACAAAACAAGAGGCAGUAGCAGCACCCCCACCCUUCCUCUACUUCUUCGACAAUAUGAGUGUUAGAUUCAUUUUCCUAGGUGUGAUUUUGAGGCAGAUGAAUAUGUGUGAGAGAUUGUAGAGGAAGAUCUCAGAUAUAGCUUUUAGGGAUGAACAUGAAUGAAUGAAUUUGUAGAUGAAGAUGAAUGUUGUUUGAACAUUUAAUUAAGAAAUUUUUAAUUGUUUUUUGUUUUAAUAUUUGAAAUUAUUAAAUUGUAUUUUGAAAUUCAAAAAACCUGUUUUAAUGACAUGUAAAUGACAUUUUCCAAAUUGGCAAUGCCACAUAGGCAAAAUUUUACCACCUGUGCAUUUUUGGAUGUGAAAAUAGGGGGUAAGACUAAAACUGCAACAAAAAUGAUAAUUGAAAAACAAUUUUAAUCUGUUUUAAAAGGGCAGGACCAAUUUCCUGAGUAGGCCACAACACGAGGACCAAAAGUGUAAUUAAGCCUUAUAUUUAUGUUGAUGUGCUACAAGCUUAUGACUGGUUUCUUUUGUUUGAUAAUAUAUUUGCAUAUUAAAUAAAAUGGUUAUAAUUAUAUUCUACAUUUAAUUAUAUAAUUUUUUUAUUGACGUAUCCCAACCAUAUCGUAUCUUGAUUUUUGAAAUUUUUUCGUAUUGACGUAUCGGUGCAGUAUCGUAUCUCGUAUUCGGGCUUCAUAGAUCUAGACUAUUAAUUUUUUUGAUAAACAAGAUUAUUAUUAUUUUUUGACAAAAACAAAGUGAGAUUCAUUCAUUCAAAUUGAUAGAGUACAUCAGAUACAAACAUUGCUAAAAACGUAAAGGAUAAAUCUAUGAACAAACUCACAACACUAAAGUUCAUACAACAGCAAAAUGUCUACAAAUAAUAUGAUAAAAUCUAAGUCACCAAAAUAUUCAUGCUUCCGGGUAUGCAACGUUGGCGCCCAAAUCAUUGAUUGAAUUUGUAAUUGACUAAUGUCGAUCUUUCAACAUGAACUAAACGAACACCGCGUCAAGACGCGAAAUCAAACAUCACAUAAGACCACUAACAACACAAUGCCACAAUUAGAUGACGAAAUCACAAAAACUCAAAAGGGAAAACUUGAUAUAUGUGAAAACCAUUUGUUUAGAUCGAAAGAAAAGAGAAAAAACGAUGUAGAGGGGUGAUUUUAGGUCAAAAAUGACCUAAAACCAGUUCUUUUUAAUAAACGAAGGAGAAAGAAUGUUUAGAGAGAAGUUGGAGUUUUUUUUUACUUAAAAAAUUAGGAUAAGCAAAAUUAUUAUAGAGGGAUAAAGGGCUCCCCAACCCAUAUACAAAAUGAUGGUUGCAAUGCCAUGUAGAAAAUAAAAAGAUAACAUUGCCUUUCUUUUUACAAUUAAACUAGUUACAAACCCGUGCGUUGCACGGGUUUAAUAACGUAUUUUAUAAAAAAAAAAUCUUUUAAAAGAAAAAUGAGCAAAUUAAUGAAUAUUGCACAAACAUUAUAAAUCUUUAUCAAAAUAUUUAUGAAAGCUUUAUCAAGUCUUUAAUACACAUUAAUAUUUGUGAUGAUUGAUAAAAGAAUUAAAAAGAGUAAAGGGUAUAGAAAUAAAUUUAUUAAAGAAUUAACAAUUUGUUUAAACUUAUUUUUGUUACAAUUUAGACCAAAAAAAAUAUUGGACUUCAUUGAGUUUCUCUAUAAUUUUUUUAUCAGGCUUGAAGUUAUGACUCUGAGUUUGAAAACCGCAAAAUUCACAAAAAUUAUUGAAGAAACACUAUAAACAAAUAAACGGCAUCGUCAAAAAUGAAAUCAUAUUUGGCUAUAGUGAUCAAGCAAACAAAAAAAAAGAAGCAUAUUAAAUACCUAUAAUCAAUGGAUUCUAAUUGCAUAGAGGCGACACUUAUACUUUCUCUAUGUUUGUUCAUCAAUGAGAGUGAUUAUUUUGCGCUUUCCUUUCAGAAUUGUUCUUGACACCUAGUUUGGGAAAUGCUAAACAGGGAAAUAACUGUAAUAUUAAUCUAAUGCAUAUUAACAUGGAUAAGAUGUAUGCGAAUAUAGUUAUAUAUAACUUAUGAAAUGAAGGUAACAUAACUGAUUUUAAGCUAAAGAAAAUGUACCAUGACUUCUAAUUUAUCUUUCUAUUAUCUUCCUAUAAAGUCUAGAGAAAUGCAUGCAUGUGCAUUAUAUGUACCCCGUUGACCAAUUAACAUUUUUGAAACAAAUGAAAAUUAAGCAUCACUCCCGCAUGUGCAUCUAUAGCUAACACCAUUUGACAUUGAUGUCUUCGAACAUUUGGUGCAACUCUCAUAAUACCAUCCAAACUGGUUAGGAUUGAAUUUAGUUGUUUUUCCAAAUAGUGAUGGAGUAUGUAUCCUAACACAAAUUAUGCACGUGAAAUAAAGAAUAGUGCAAUAUGCAUUUUUAAUUUGUGCGUAAAAAAAUUCAAAGCAUGUUUGUGAAAAAAAAAAAAAAAAACAGACCUUGACUAAGUUUAUAGAUUCAUCAAUUGGCCUAACUUGAGACAGAUUGGAAAAAUCGUUCUACGAAGUACUUUUUAAACUUUACUUUUUAAUCUAUCUGAGCUUGAGAAGUGUUAAGUUCACGACAACAAUUCAAGAAACAUGGUCAAUAAACAAUCAAAUCAGAUUGUGAAAUAAUAAGUUACUCUAACACUGUAUUGUGAAAUCAUAAUGCAAACUUACUAAGUCUUAAACUUUUCAACAACCGGAUGAUGUAGGUUGAUGAGCAGCCUCGAACCUGACCAAUUGUUACAUCUAUUUGCGUUGUCAUUGACUACAAAAUAGAAGCAAAGAAUUCAAGGUAAAUAAAUGGUAAAUGAUAAAGCUACAAAGUAUUUUACCCAUAAUGUUACAUCAACUAUAUUCCCAAUGCUCUAAAUCUCUAUAUCGAGUUAUUACAUGAACUCGAUCACCCUAAAUCCGAGAAAGAAACCAAAAAAUAUAAAUAAAUCAAAAUGUAUACUAAUAAGUAACAUUGAUAAAUCAUAAAAGAAAUUACUACAAAUCUUAACUAACUUAUCUAACCUUUGCAUCACAAAUAAUGAGCUUCAUAUGUUGAUUCUCAUUACUACCAGUCACAAUUCAAGAAUCCAGUACUCCAAAUCCUAUUUUCCAAACGUCUAAAUCAUUUUUGAGAUACUUAAUGUAGUCAUAAUCCCUUGACAUUGAAAUUCAUAUAUAGAAAUACAAUAAUACAUCAUUUAAUUUUAUUCCCUUUGUUCAUUCUGAUAUCGAAAGAAGCUAACAUAUUUCUAUGUGAUCAAUUUUUGUAUCAUCAAAUUAACCUGAUCUUAAAUGUACAAAUUUCUAUCAUCAACUUUCUGGACCCCAAUGAUAUGAUCAAAACAAAUUUACACCAAUCAACUUUUUGCACGGCUCAAUGAUAUACGAAAGAAUAAAUAAAAUAUGAAAACUGUUACAGCUUUAGGAUUACUCACAAAAACUAAAAUAAUUGAAAUGCAUCAAUUAUUUUCAACUCCUGUACCAGAAGCUAAAAUAACAAUUGUGUCAAAACCUUACCAUCAGUUAAAAUUCAGUCAUCAUGACCUCUACUAUACUCCACAUAACAAAAGACGAUUUUUCUACAGCCAUGCAACAUAACAAAUUUUGGUACAUAAUCCAAUAACAAUUGGAAAAAAAAAAAAAAAACCCUUAAAAUGCAUAAUCAUGAAAAAAGGAAGAAAACCAUCUAUGAUGAAGCAAAAACUAAAACGGUGUCGAAAAAUGAAGCCCUUAAGCCAUAAAAAUCAGUCAACUCAAGUCAUGCAUGGUCUCAGAACCAUGAAAAAAGAUAGAAAAUGACCUUUUUUUUUUUUGUGGUGGCCGGGGUUUGAACUCCGGACCUUGCAUAUUUUAUGCAUUGUCCUACCAACUAAGCUAAGCUCACGAGGACGAAGAAAAUGACCUCUUAUGAAGAAGAAAGUGAAACAGUGUUCCCGACUGAACUUAGAUACCGUUUGGUCAAGGUUUUUUACAUUAUAAAAGUUACUUCAAAACAAAGUAAAAAUAAAGGCCUUUAUGAAAGAAACUAAAGUUAUUUGGUUUUUUUGUUUUGUUAGUUUUAAAGCUAUUUAAGUUUAAUGUUGUUUGGCAAAAUAUUGUACAAACUUUGAAUUUAUUAUUUUUUAUAUGGUGUCUGGGGUUCGAACUCCGGACUUGGCAUGUAUUUAUGCAUUGUUCCUAUCAACUGAGCUAAACUCAUGAGGACAAAACUUUGAAUUUAUUAUUAAUUAACAUAAUAAAUAAAUAAAAUGUUUAGAAUAAUUUAUGAAGGCUAAAAAUGUUAAAAAAAUAAAAGAUAUUUUUUUUACAAAUACGAUAUUUACUCAAUAACGUUUAUUUUGUGUAACAUGAAUACAAAUUAAUAUCAUCAUAUAAAUAACUUGUUAAAUAUUUGAAUAGGAGAAACAAUUUAAGGAGUCUGGAAUAAUAAUAUAAAUAAUAUCAAAAUAUUUGAUUUUUUCUAUUUCAAUUAUACUCUAUAACAAAUUUCGUUAUAAGAAUACCAUAUUUUUUGUGUCUUUCAAAAAGAUAAGAAUUUAUAUUAUAUGAUAUUAUAUUUGUUACAUUGUUGGUGUCAUGGAAACAGAUAUGUUUAAUUUUUUUGAACAUGAAAAUGAUAUGCAUAGUUUGUUACGAUAUAAAGGUGCAAUAUAUAUAUAUAUAUACACCUUUUUAGGCAUCUAUACCUUUUUUUGAAGAAAAGACAUCUACAAUUUUACUUUUAAUUAAAAUUUAAAUUUUAUAAAAAUAAUCAUACGCAUUAUGCAACGCUAAAAAAAAUUAUACACAUUAGCGUAACAAAAAAACAGACACACAUAAAGAAUUACUCUAAACGCUAAUGUGUAUGUGCGUAUAUAUUUGCGAGGUUGAAGAAAGAAAAUACAAAUAUUUGAUAUCAUUAAAUGACAGCGUGAAUAAAAAUAUUUGUGAAGUUGUGAUGAUUAAACGAUAUUGAAAUUAUAAGUGAUAAAAAGAUAAUAAAAUUCCUUUGAAAAAAAGGUAAUAAAAUUAAAUGGAACCUCCUUAAAAAAAAUUAAAUUGAACGCUUCAAAUUAAAUGGAAGAAAAAAAUAUAUUGAAGUAUAAUAUUAAAAAAUAAAAAAAAAGGUUCCCAACGUGAAUUGAAGAGAGAUGCUUGUGAAAUAAAUUGUCGAGAAGUAGUUUUUUGAAGAAGCAUUCAACAACUUUUGGUCAAAGUUCAUUGCAUUCAAUUUUAUGCAUUAAAAAAGGUACAUUUUUUAGAAAGUACUUAAUUGAUAUUGUAUUUGACCUAACUUCUCCUUAAAAAUAUAGGGAAGUUGAAAAAAAAAACCGGGUCAAACGGUAUCUUAAUUUCCCACAACGGCAGUGUAGAAACAACUGAAUUUGGGAGAAAAAAAUUGGAAAAUAGUUAAAAAUAAAAAAAAUUGAAAAAUAGUUAAAAAAAAUCGGUGAGGUAGCACCUAACCAAACAACACUAAAAAAAAUUAUAUGCAUCAGCGUAACAAAAAAACAGACAGACGGACAUAAAAUAUUACUCUAAACGUUAAUGUGUGUGUAUAUAUUCGCGAGGUUGAAGAAAGGAAAUAAAAAUAUUUGGUAUCAUUAAAUGACAGCGUGAAUAAAAAUAUUUGUGAGGUUGUGAUGAUUAAACAAUAUUGAAAUUAAAAUAAUUAAUAUUGUGUUUGACCCAACUUCUCCUUAAAAAUUUAGAGAAGUUGGAAAAAAGUCGGGUCAAGCGAUACCUUAAUCUCCCACAACGGUAAUGUAGAAGCCACUGAAUUUGGGAGAAAAAAUUGGAAAAUAGUUAAAACUAAAAAAUAAAAAAAUCGGUGAGGUAGCACCCAACCAAGCAACACCAAAAAAAAAUUAUAUGCAUUAUCGUAACAAAAAAAUAGACAAACAGACAUAUAAUAUUACUCGAAACAUUAAUGUGUGUGUAUAUUCGCGAGGUUGAAGAAAGGAAAUAAAAAUAUUUGAUAUCAUUAAAUGACAACGUGAAUAAAUAUAUCUGUGAGGUUGUGAUGAUUAAAUAAUAUUUAAAUUAAAAUAAUUGAUAUUGUGUUUGACCUAACUUCUCCUUAAAAAUGUAGAGAAUUUGGAAAAAAGCCGGGUCAAACGAUACCUUAGUCUCCCACAACGGCAAUGUAGAAGCAACUGAAUUUGGGAGAAAAAAUUGAAAAAUAGUUAAAAACAUAAAAAUUGGAAAAUAGUUAAAAGUUAUUAAAAAUUAGAAAAUAAUUUAAAAAAUUGGUGAGGGGCAAAAUGGGAAAUUUGGCAUAAAAAAGAUGAGGUGGCACCAAACCAAACCCACCAAUUAGAAAAUUACUUAAAUGCCCAUUCCAGGGACAAAAUGGGAAUUUCAUAUGGCAUCAAUUUUAAUAGAGUAUAUAGACCACUCACAUUACACAAAUGUUGAAAUAUAUGAUGCAUAUUACUUUUUAAAUUUUUGGUUUAUAGUUGCAUUUUUUUUAGGGUUAAUAGUGUUUUUCACCCUUGUAAUAUAUGUCAUUUUCGGUUUUCGACCCUAUAAAAUUUUUAGUUUUAUUUUAACCCUCGUAAAAUUUUUAUUUUCCGGAAAAGACCCUUAAUAGGCCAUUCAAAAACCAAAAUUUCUUGAAAAAAAUUCUGAAAAUGGCCUAUUAGGGGUCUUUUCCGGAAAAUAAAAAUUAUACGAGGGACCACCUGUUGAGAAACCACCUGUACACAAGCCACCAGUUGAGAAGCUACCUGUUUACAAGCCACCUGUAGAGAAACCUCCGGUGUACAAGCCACCUGUUGAGAAGCCCCCAGUUUACAAACCUCCAGUAGAGAAGCCUCUAGUGCACAAGCCACCAGUUGAUAAACCACCUGUACACAAGCCACCAGUUGAGAAGCUACCUGUUUACAAGCCACCUGUAGAGAAACCUCCGGUGUACAAGCCACCAGUUGAGAAGCCCCCAGUUCACAAAC
This 47743-nucleotide long non-coding RNA is filed under the name Medicago truncatula (barrel medic). RNAcentral's name for it is "long non-coding RNA (MTRU_LNC001595)". Lineage: Eukaryota; Viridiplantae; Streptophyta; Magnoliopsida; Fabales; Fabaceae. The record is from RNAcentral.